This 45037-nucleotide long non-coding RNA is filed under the name Gossypium barbadense (sea-island cotton). Its description in RNAcentral is "long non-coding RNA (GBAR_LNC008793)". The stretch from base 1658 to 1764 matches the Rfam family "Plant small nucleolar RNA R71". Lineage: Eukaryota; Viridiplantae; Streptophyta; Magnoliopsida; Malvales; Malvaceae. The record is from RNAcentral.
CCUAAAUUUGUAGCCUUCGAUCUUCAUAGAUAGGUCCUUUGUUAUUGCUUGAACAUGGCUUAUGUAAGUUCUUCGAACUUAUUUCCUGCAAAGUAGGUUGCACCACAUGGUCAGUUUUAGUAGAAUGAUUUAUACAACCACCUUAAAUUUUUGAUGUGUUACUCAUAUUACGAGCUUGAAGGAUGAUUGUUUCGUCUCCCACACGAAGUGUGAGUUCACCUGUGCUAACGUCAAUUAUUGUUCUAGCGGUUACUAAAAAGGGUCUUCCUAAAAUUAAAGGAACGUUACUAUCCUCCUCUAUGUCUAGAACAACGAAAUCAUCUGGGAAUAUAAAUUUGUCAAUUUUAACAAGUACAUCUUCGAUAAUCCCCCUAGGAAAUCUGAUUGUUUUAUCUGCUAAUUGAAUACUCAUCCUAGUUUGUUUGGGUUUCCCAAAACCUAGUUGUUUAAACAUUUUGUAAGGUAUGACAUUGAUACUAGCCCCUAAAUCAGCCAAGGCAUUAUUAACAUCUAGGCUACCAAUUAAACAGGGAAUCGUAAAACUCCCUAGAUCUUUUAAUUUGUUGGCCAGCUUAUUCUAUAGUAUGGUUGAGCAAACCGCAUUUAGCUCCACAUGCGAUGCCUCAUCCAACUUCCGUUUAUUUGUGAAAAGCUCAUUUAAGAAUUUGACUGCGUUUGGCAUCUGCGAAAGAGCUUCAAUAAACGGUAAGUUAAUAUGUAAUUUCUUUAAUAAUUUAAGGAAUUUACUGAAUUGUUCGUCUGUGCGGUCUUUCCUUAUUGCGUUGGGGUAUGGCACACGAGGUUUGUACUCUUUACUUACCGAUUUCUGCUCAUUGUGGUCCACCUCACCUUUACCUUUACUUACCACAGUUUUUUGCCUCGGUUCUGGUUCAGGUGUAACUAACCCGUCUUCAUCUUGAAUGAUAAUUGCAUUGAGUUGCUCCCUUGGAUUAGAUUCAAUGUUACUCGACAAGCUACUUUGUGGUCGUUCAGAUAUCAAUUCAGCGAGCUGACCUAUCUGAGUUUCGAGCCCUUGGAUCGACGCUUAGUGAUUUUUAAGUGUUGUCUCGGUAUUUUAGAAAUGAGUUUUUGACACUGAGAUGAAUUUUGUUAGCAUCUUCUCAAGGUUCAGCUUUUUCUCUUACUGGUAAGGUUGUUGUUGGAAGCCUGGAAGUGGUAGUGGUCUCUGAUUCCCUUGGCUUCCCCAUGAGAAAUUUGGGUGGUUCCUCCAUCCUGCAUUGUAAGUAUUACUAUAAGGAUUAUUUUGAGAUCGAGGAUUAUUACCCAUGUAAUUUAGCUGCUUGUUCUCCAUCUUGUGGCCAUAAGGUGGGUAUUCUGAAUUGCUGGAUCCACCUCCAUUUGCUUCGCAUUGCAGUACUGGGUGAACCUGUGAAGAACCAAGAAAACUGUCAAUUUUUCUAUUCAAAAGAUCUACCUGAUUAGAGAGCAUGGUGAUCGAAUCGAUGUUAAAAAUGCCGAUUGUUUUCGUUGGUUUUCUCCUCAUGACUUGCCACUGAUAAUUAUUCAGUGACAUCUCUUCUAUAAAUUCAUAAGCAUCCUCAAGUGUCUUAUUAUUGAUAGUUCCACCAGCGGCUGCAUCAAUCAUCUGUCGAGUCAAAGGAUUCGGGCCAUUGUGAAACGUUUGAACCUGUAGCCAGAGUGGUAGUAAGGGCACCUUCGCAAAAUGUCCUUGUAUCUCUCCCAUGCAUCAUAAAGUGUUUCUAAAUCCAUCUGCACAAAAGAGGAGAUAUCAUUACGUAAUUUGGCUGUUUUAGCCGGCAAAAAAUAUUUUAAUAAAAAAAUUUCGGUCAUUUGUUCCCAAGUAUUGAUUGACCCUCAUGGUAAAGAGUUCAACUACUGUUUAGCCAUAUUCCUCAACGAAAAGGGAAACAACCAAAGGCGAAUGGCAUCAUGAGAAAUGCCGUUGAUUUUAAAAGCGUCACAAAACUCUAAGAAAUUCGCCAAAGAAGAGUUUAGGUCCUCGUCCUGCAAACCAUCAAACUGAACAAACUGUUAGAUCAUUUGAAUGGUGUUAGGUUUCAGUUCAAAAUUAUUUGCAACAGCAAGCCUAACUAUGCACGAUUCAAUUCCUGUUAAAGAAGGUUUAGCACAAUCAUAUAUAGUACGUGGAGUAGGAUUCUGAUUAGCAGCAAUCACAAGAGGUAGCAGAUUUUCUUGGUUUUCAGCCAUCUCCUCGGUUGUUGAUAAACCGUAAUUUAUACAUAUUUUUACCCCAUGUUAAAUGCAUUUUAUGGAUGAUUUCCCAUUAGAAUUGGUGAAUUUGAUGCUCUUAAUGCUUUAAUUUCAUGUUUUAUACUUAGGAGAUCAUAGGAGAGGGAAAGGAACGAGAAACGGGCCAAAAUCGGAGAAAAUGGGCCAAAGUACGAAAUCAACACGACUUGGACCUCCUCACACGGGCAGACCACACGGCCGUGUCAAUCUGGCAGGCUUGAGCACGGCCUGAAUUAAUCGCACACGGGCGUGUUACACGGACAUGUCCCUGCCGAGCCCAAGUUGAGUCCAAUUUGGAAAAGGCUAAUUUUGAGGGCUCUUAGGCAUUCCAAAGCCUAUAAAUACACCCUAGAGGAGGAAGAAAAAGAGGGGCACAGAAUAGGGAGUAAGGAAUUACUCCAAGAAAGCCAAUUGAUCCAUCUCAGAAGCCGGAUUCAACAUUAAGACUGAAGAUCUCUCCUAAAUUUCCCCUUCAGGAGUUUUUGGUUUUCUUUAUGUUUUGUAUGCUUUAUUAUUCUGAGAUGUUUUCUUAUUUAGUUAUGAACUAAAGCCCUUUAAUACCUAAGGGGAAUGAAACCUAAGACGAAUCUUGUUAUUAUUUUCUGAAUUGUAUGAUAAAUAUUUAACUUGUUCUUAAUUAUAUGUUCUUAAUUCUUGUUUUGAUAUCUCAGGAUACUAAUUCAAGAUAAGAUCUUAUUCAGAGGAGGAAUAGACCCUAUCUAAGAGUACAUUUGUCAUAAUUAAGCAGAGUUGAUUGCGCGCCUAGAUAUAGGGUGACAAGAUUUUGCAGGAUUAGGGUGAAACCUAAUAAGGGGAUCCAUAAAUCGAGUUAAUGCAACCCUAAGGUGUUAAUUAGAGAAAGGUCUCAAUUAUUCAAUCUAGGGAUUAGACAUUAUUAGUCUUGAAUAGGGAUAAUAACAUAACUUAGGGAUCUCUACGGAACAAGUUAAAUGAAUAAAUCAUCUGGUUCGGAGCCAGAAUAACAAGUACAGUCUAGGUGGAUUUUUCCUUAGGUAUUGUCUUAAUUCAAUCGAUUCCAAAAGCAAUUACCUAAUUCCAUUCUCUGUGAAUUCUUAGUUUAGAUAAUUGGUUAGUUAAAACAAAAACCUCUCUAUUCUUGGGCUAGAUAAUAAAUAGACAGUCAUUACUAGUACUUUUAGUUCCCUUAGGCUUGACAAUCCGGUCUUGCUAAAACUAUACUACUAUUCGAUAGGUACACUUGCCUACAUCGCGAUAAUAGUUAGUUUCAAGAGAGAUUAAUUAUAAAUAUUUAAAACCUAUCACGAAAUCACGCGAUCAAGUUUUUGGCGCCGUUGCCGGGGAAACUAAAAUAUUAGGAACACUCAAUUUUUAUUACUUUAUCCAUUUAUUUUUCUUGCAAUCUAAUUUUAUUCUAAUUUACUAAUUUUCUUUUUCUUUCUUCUGGCAAGUUUUUAUAUUUUAUGACUAGAAGAAACCCGUCAGGACCACUACUUUUUAACGAAAAAAUCGAUCACACUGUUCGCAGAAACCAAAGAGAAAUAAGGCGAAGCCUAAGAUACACAGAGAAUAACCAAGAAGACGAUACUCAACCCCCGACCGAAGAGAUGGCUGAAAACCAACACAAUCAGCUACCUCCUGCAAUUGCGGCUACUCAAAAUCCUGCUCCACGCACUAUUUAUGAUUAUGCUAAACCUUCUUUAACAGGAAUUGAAUGGAGCAUAGUUAGACCUACUAUAGCUGCAAAUACUUUUGAACUAAAACCUAACACUAUUCAAAUGAUACAGCAAUUUUUUCAGUUUGAUGGUUUGCAGGAUGAGGAUCCCAACGCUCAUUUAGCCAACUUCUUAGAACUAUGUGAUGCAUUUAAAAUUAAUAGUGUUUCUGAUGAUGCCAUUCAUAUUCAGUUAUUCCCUUUUUCGUUGAGGAACAAAGCUAAACAGUGGUUGAACUCAUUACCACGAGGGUCAAUCACUACUUGGGAACAGCAGGCAUUUAUAAUGUCGAUUCGAUUACUAUGCUAUCAAACUAGGUAGAACUUUUAAAUAAAAAGAUUGACGGUUUUUUUAGUUCUUCAUAGGUUCACCCAGGAAUGCAGUGCGAAGCAAGUGGAGGUGGAACAAGCCAUUCGGAGUACCAACUUUAUGGCCACAACAUCGAUAACGAGCAAUUAAAUUACUUGGGUAACAAUCCUCGACCUCAAAACAAUCCAUAUAGUAACACUUACAAUGCAGGUUGGAUGAACCACCCCAAUUUCUCGUGGGGCAGUCAAGGAAAUCAAAGACCACAACCACCUCCAGGCUACGAACAACCACCCUACCAACAGGAAAAGAAACCGAACCUUGAAGAGAUGCUCACAAAGUUUAUCUCGGUGUCAGAAACCCGUUUCUAGAACACUGAGAUAGCACUUAAAAAUCAACAAGCGUCGAUCUAAGGGCUCGAAACUCAGAUAGGCCAGCUUUCCAAACUAAUCUCUGAACGACCACAAGAGAGCUUUCCAAGUAAUAUUGAACAUAACCCAAGGGAACAACUCAACACGAUUAAUGUUCAAGAUGAAGAAGGAUUUGUUGAGCCUGAGCCAGAACCGAGGCAAGAAACUGUGGUAAGCAAAGGUCAAUAAAAACAAUUUGGUAAAUUCCUUAAACUCUUAAAAAAAUUACAUAUUAACUUACCGUUUAUUUAAGCUCUAUCACAGAUGCCAAACGCAAUGAAAUUUUUCAAGGAGCUUUUAGCAAAUAAGUGGAAGAUGGACGAGGCAUCGUAUGUGGAGCUAAACGCAGUUUGCUCAGCUAUUCUGCAGAAUAAGCUACCCAACAAACUUAAAGAUCCAGGGAGUUUUACAAUUCCUUGCUUAAUUGGUAGUUUAGAUGUUAAUAAUGCAUUAGCUGAUUUGGGGGCUAGUAUUAACGUCGUGCCUUACAAAAUGUUUAAACAAUUAGGUCUUGGAAAACCCAAAUAGACUAGGAUGAGCAUUCAAUUAGCAGAUAAAACUAUAAGAUUUCCUAGGGGUAUUAUUGAAGAUGUGCUAGUUAAAAUCGAUAAAUUUAUAUUUCCCGUUGACUUCAUUGUUCUAGACAUAGAGAAGGAUAGCAACACUCCGUUAAUUCUAGGAAGGCCCUUUUUAGCAACUGCUAAAAAAAUUAUUGAUGUUGGCACAAGUGAACUCAUACUCCGUGUGGGAGACGAAACAAUCACCCUUCAAGCUUGCAAUUCUGGCAACACAAUGGAAAUUGAAGGUGAUCGUCUAAACCUUUCUACUAAAACUAACAAUAUGGUGCAACCUACUUUUCAGGAAAUGAAUCUGAAGGAAGCACAUGAGUCAUUCUCAAGCAAUAGUAAAUGACCCAAUCAUGAAGAUCGAAAGCUACAAAUCAAUGAGCUAGAUGAAUGGGGACGCAUGAACUGAGAACAACUGACAAACCGAAUCUACGACAGAACAAGCUCAAUCCCUUUCCAAAUCAACCUAAGGUUGGAGAUAGAGUCUUAUAGAUGCCACAGAUCCCCACAUUGUCGCGACCACAUUGAAUGAAGAAAUCCCUCUUACGGUACUCACCAUUUCCCCAUUCAGUACGGUCGAGGUGAGUCAUCCCAAGUUCGGCAGGUUUAAGGUAAACAACACCCGUUUAAAACCUUAUUUUGAUGAGAUUAAUAGUAGAAAUGAAGAGUAUAAACUCCUCAAACCACCAUGAUCAUUCAACGGAGAGCUAAGUCGAGCUUAGACUAUAAAUAAGCGCUUCUCGGGAGGGAAACCGAGCACUAACUGUAUUAACUUCUUUAAAAUUUAGUUUUCAACAUCUAACUUACUAACGGAGCGCUUGAAUACAGGUUUUCCACAGGGACUCGACCAAGAGCACAGGCGUGCUUAGGGACGUGUGAAAACAGGACAAUAAUUUUUCCAAACACGGGCUACGAUAAAAUGCCACGACCGUGUGACAUGGCCGUGGUCGAACUUGUCAAAACAAUACGGGGUAAGACACGCCCGUGUGGAAGAACCGUGGCUGAACCUGUUAAAAAAGCACGGGCGUGUGACACACCCGUGCCUAGCACCUGUGUGCAAACCUGUUAGAUUGACACAGGUGUGGGUCUGAAUACAUGGGCAUGGAAGAAGCAAACAACGUCAGACACGGCCGUGUGAUACGGUCGUGUGCACCCACACGCCCAAGGAACACGGGCGUGUAAUAAAUGUCAGACGCACCCAAAUUCAAAAUUCGCGAAUGACACGAGCUGAAUUUAAGGAACACGGGUGUGUUACCUGGCCGUGUGCCCAAAAAUCUAUAAAUACCCUGCACUAUUCAUUGUCUUCCCCACUCAAAAACCUUAACCCUAACUGCUGCAAUUCCACACGGCCUCCUUGCCACGCUCGUGCUCCGCCUCCAACUCUAUUUUUUACUCCCAAUUUCUCUUCUUUAGCAUUUGUUUACUCUUUUCACCUCUAUUUUACUUACUUUUAAUGUUUAUUUUUAAAAUAAUCUUUAUUUUUCUCUUCCUAUUUCCAUUUUGUUCAUUAUUACUAUUUCCAUUUUAUUCAUUAUUUCUGCAUUAUUAGACUAUUUAUCAUACAUUUUAUGUUAAAUCGAGUUGUUAAAUCCUCACUAUUUUGUCAUACACAUGCCAUUACUAUGCCCAUUCUCAUGCCAUUACAAUGAUAAUGUCACGAAAUUAUCCUGGUUAUGUUUGGUUAAUAUUAAUAGUUGUGGCUGAAAUUUUGAUUUUUUUUUAAAUUUGUCUUCAUUUUACGUUGAUCAUCCCUCAAGAUGAAAUAAUGGCUUUGAUUGCAGGUAUCAUGUCGUCUUCAUGAGGAAAGAAAAUCGUCGUACUUACUUCGAAGAAGAGGAAAAGAGCGUCACCUUCUGUAGAUCCAACCACGAAAAUUCAUCACCCUCUCCUGCAAUUUCCCUGAGGGCCCUAAGAAAAACUUUUUCAAAUACUUCGAGCCCGACCUUUAAUUACAGGCCGCUGCAUCGACUGGGCUGCCGUAUAACAAGUUCAGUUGGCGGAUACGAUACGAGCCCUCCUAACCACCGACCCUUAGGAGCUAUUCUUUGGGAUCAUCGAACCAACAUACCUCGAGCUCAUGAUGGAACUAUGCUCAACGUUCCAUCUUCAGACUGUAAUGACGAAUUACGAUGAUCCUGGCACGGUCUAGUUUCGCCUAGGUGGGUUAGUAUUCCAGCUAAGCGUCCCAGAGUUCGGUGCUGCACUGGGCUUAUAUCCGGAGAAGUUCAAGGAGGAGGAUGAACUACAUGCUCUGACUCGCCACAUACAUUUCUCUCCCUCGAAGUGUUGGCACACUUUGGCCCCUGGCGCAGCUUCCUACAAUCCUAGCCGCUCCAAGGUAUCAGUUCUCCCACCAUCCGUGAGGUACCUCAGGCCAUUUUGGCUCACACAAUUACAGGGAGGCGAGAGAGCACUGGCGUCAUCAACACUGGCGUCGUCAACACUAACGACGCCUACUUCUUAUGGUGUAUGUCACACGAGCACGUCAUCAACCUUUCCUAUUUCAUCGCCCUCGCCAUUCAGCACUAUACUUGAGCUUGGCAGGGACACACCAGUGUGCGAUUACUUCAGCCCAUGGUUAUGGCUGUUGAACAGGCACAGGCGUGUAGUCUACCCGUGUGGAUUACCUGUGUGAGGAAGUCCAGGCCGUGUUGAUUUCCUAUGUGGGUCUAUUUUCUCUGUUUUCAGUUCAUUUCUUGCUCUUUUCACUCUCUUAUGCUCACCUAAGUGUAAAACAUAAAAUUAAAGAAUUAGAAGCAUCGAAUUCACCAAAUCUAAGGAAAAAUCAUCCAUAAAUGUGUUAAACAUGGGAUAAAAAUAUGUAUAAAUUACGGUUUAUCACAUACCUAUGUCUUCGUGAGAUCUUCAUCUCCGUAUAGCCAUAGGGAAAUUUAUUCCCUUGAACUAAACUCGGUCUGUAUGAGCCUAUAAUAGGUAAAGAUCGAGGAACCUAUCGAUUUAGGUACCCUUACUUUAGAACUGAACAGCAUAUAACGAGCCCUAAAAGCCUACCCUAGGUAGAACUAUACCAAACCUUAGUCACUCGAUUAGGUGUUUUAUUUAUUAUUUCUUGCUUUAAUAUCUAGAUUUGUAUAAAAAGUACUGACUUGUUUUAUUUUAUUUUGGAUUUGAUUGCAUUGCAUUUUCAUCAAAGAAAAGGGUGUUGAUUCACUUCAAUUGCUAAAUAGAGAGCUCGUCAUGAAAAAGGGAUUUCUUGAUAAAGUGGAAGACAAUGCGGUCAUCCGGAUAUGGUUUGAGAAGACAGAACAAGAGAAAGAUGAUAGCCUGGUGGAGGGAUAUGUGUCAGAAUUGUAGGAUUUCACUCGUAUCAGUGUGAUUUAGAAUAAUCUCCAAGAGUUGAAAGAGGUAUAGGACCAAUGGGAUGACGAAACCAUGGCUAUUUGCCCUAUUUGCCCUAUUUGCCCUAUUUACUCGAUGCCAAAGUGAAUAAGCACUUGUUUCGUGCUCUUUCUUAGUAUUGGAAUCUCGCUUAUAGUUGCUUUACUUUUCGAAAGGUAGAUUUGGUGCCUACCGUAGAGGAGUAUACAACUUUGCUUCGUUGCCCCAGGAUCCAAGUUGACAAAGCUUAUUCUAGAGCCGCCAACAUCCAGACUUUCCUAAAAAGCUAAUGAAUAUCACUAGGAUGAGUGAGCAAUAGGUCGCGGCCCAAAUUAUAUAAAAGGGAGAUAGUAAAUGCAUUCUUUGGAAAAGUUUGCGAGAUUUGAUCUUCGUACAUUUGGAUACGAAAAAAAGAGUUGAUGUCUUUGCCUUGAGUAUCUACGGGUUGGUCAUCUUCCCCAAAGCACUAGGACACAUAGAUGAUGCAAUUCUAGACCUAUUCGACCGGCUUGACAAAAGGGUCACGCCUUUCCCAGCAAUUUUGGCCGAAACUUUCAGAUCUUUAAGUGCAUGCCGGAGAGGAGGAAAAGGAAGAUUUAUUGGGUGUGCACAACUCUUGCUAGCCUGGUUUCACAGCCACUUUUGGAAGGUAAAAAAGGUAUCUUAUUGAGUAUUCUUCAAGAACUACUUUCUGCUGAAAGAAUUUGUGGCUACGCUAAGGCGAGACGACAUUCCAGAGAAAAAUUGGUGGCAAUUCUCUAGAAUCUCCAAGAUGAAGAUGUUGAAUGGAGGGCCUCGUAGAUGAUCCCUGAUGAGAUUUUGUACCGAUGUGGAGACUUCUAUUGGGUCCCUCUACUCGGGAUAUGAGGAGGUACGGGAUAAGCCCCUCUACUUAUACUGAGACAGUAUAGAUCGAGGGAGUUCAUACUAAAAAUGCAAGGGUUGGCUCAACACGAGUUUGCGUACAAAGGUGAUAAUUAAAAUACAAAGGUUCGUGAAAUAUCGAACACUUGGAACUAAACCCACUGAUUGAAAAAAUUUGUCGCAACUCCAAUGACGACCCCCAAGUGUGAUUGGUGGUGGGGUAAAAGUGUCAAUGAUAAUGUCCCUGUGUUAAGUCAAGAAAACACUCGGUUGAUAGAAGAUCAUUUACAAGUAAUCCUUUCUGACUAGGAAAUCAUAAAACAAGACUUUGAAAAGAGGAGUUCGGAACUGGAGAAAAAGAUAAAAUAGUUGGAAGAGGAAUAGAUGCAGCUUGAAUUAGAUGUUGACGUCCAAAAGUUAGAAGCCGAGAAAGUGAGAAAGGAAAGAACAAGGCUAAAGAAGACUUAGACAAUUUAAAAAUAGAUUAUAAGAAGUUGUGCUUGUCGAUUAAGACUACCGGGUUGGGUAAAAAGUCAGAAAAAUGGUGUCAAGAGAUCAAAGAAGAAAAGAUUAGAGAUAAUCAGUGGGAAAAGAAAUUUCAAGAGGCUCGAGUUCGAGAAGAUGCACUAGAAAGGGAUUUGUUAGAAAGCCAAAAUGAAAAGGUUGGAUUGAGAGCCAGGGUAGAAGAAUUGUAACACCCCCUAACCUUAAACCGUCGCUGAAACACGGUUACAGAGCAUUACCGGACCUAUCGGACAAUUUAUAUAAAAUACCUAUGUUCAACCCAUCUAAACACAUUUAAAUAUGCUCAAAACUUGCUAAAUUUAGACAUUUUAUAUAUCUUCCAAUACUCAAGUCCAAUCACUUAUCAUACAUUAUCAAUAUGAUUCAAAUUUAUACCAAUUAACCCAAAUCCUAUUAUAUACCAUUACCAAACCUAAUUCUAAAUAUUUCAUCAAUACAUUGAAAAUUCAAAAUACACACACAUAAAAUAUCCUAGGUACAUGCUAUUACCAACUAUUAACAUGCUUUACCUCAUUGAAUUCGGGAUCGGCCUGGGAUGCUGAUUCAACAAUCUAGCUUUAACGUAACCUGCGUAUGGAAACAGUCGUACAUUGAGUAUGAACUCAGUGGUAUUUCUAUAAUUCGAACAUUAAAUAGUAAAACAUACACUUAAUAUCAUUUAAUGAUCAUAAAUUUUCAUUUAUUCAUUUCAGGGAUAAAUUCUUUACAACUUAUUCAAUUUUUAUCAUCUAUUAACCCAAUUAGCUUUUCAAAUAAAUUCACAAUCAUUUAAAUAAUAAUAUUUUCCAUUCAUAUGUCUCACUUAUACUUCUGUUCACUAUUCAAUAUCAGUAAAUAAUUUUCAGUAUCGAUCAAUUUUUCAGUUUCAUUCAGUAACAUUCAAUCAUUCAAUAACAAUUAGUUGUUCAAUAAUAUUCAGUCACUCUUUAACAGCCAGUUAUUCAGUAACGAUAAAUUAUUCAGUAAUAAUAAAUUAUUCAGUAACAAUCUUUUACGCAGUAGCAGUCAGUUAUCCAGUAACAGUCAGUUAUUCAAUAGCAGUCAAUUAUUCAGUACCUUUAUUUACCCCUAUUAACAUGACUUGGACUCGGACUCGGACGGAUACACGGAUCCAACCCACACACCGGGAUAGCAUACAAUGUUUCAUCAGCCAGAGCCGGAAUACACCAUAACAGUAAUAGUAACAGUAACAGUGGCGGUACAUAGAGUACUUCAUUGGAACAAAUCCCUAACAGUAAGGUACAGAGUACCUCUUCGGAACGAAUCCGGAACAGUAACAGUAAGGCGAUACUUAUAGCGUCUCAUCGACACAAAGUCGGAAUAUCCCUGAACACUUCCAAUCCUAUAGCAUGCCAACUAUAUCUGACUUAGCCCGAUACUGUUAAUAGGAUUUCUAAUUCAUUUUCUAGUUUCCAAUCAUUACACAUUUCAACAAUCAAAUAUAUUCAUAAUUCGACAUAAUUCAUUUCACUUUUCAAUAGCAAAUAUUCAAUUUUCACAAUAAUCACAUAUAUUCGUAUAAAUUCAAUAAAUUUAACACAUACCUAAUCAAUCCAUUUCAAUUAUAAAACACAAUAUUUCUCAUCUCAAUUACUAUCAUAAUAUUCAAUCAAAAUUCAACAAUUAAUAAAUAAUUUCACUUUUCAAUUCUAACCGAUAUCUAUUCUAAUUCAAAUAUUCAUCUCAAAGCACUUUCUAUACAUGUUAAGUAACAAAUUCAAUAAUUAAAUAUUAAAUUCGGAUUAUAGAAAUACAAACCGUAAUUUUCGGGCUAACCCUUGUCGACUUUUCCUUUUCCUUGCUUAGCCGAGAUUUUUGGCACAAUGUUAGCUACGAAAAUUAAAACAAUUAAAAAUUCAUCAAUAUACAAUUUCAUUUUAUUUAUUCCAAUUUCAACUCAAUUUUUACAUAACUUAUAAUUUAGUCCCAAUUCAAACUAACUUGUUUUCUUUACAAUUUGUUCUUUAUUUUUCACUCAACUAUCACUUAAAAUCAAAUUUCAACUCUCUAAUUUCCCAUAAAUCCUUAAUUUCGAAUUGCAUUCAAUUUAGUCCCUAAAGCAUAAAACUUAUGAAUUACUUUACAAUUCAAUCCUUAUUUCAUUUCUAACUUGAAUUUCUAUCAAUCUAAUCCCUAAUUCAUCAUUUUAUUCAACAUGAACCAUAUUUAGAAAUCUAAUAACUUUCAAAAUAUCAAUUUAAUUUCAUCAAAACCUUAUUCCAAAGCUUCUAAAACAUCAAAAUUAAGUAAAAAAGGGCUAAAUUGACUUACCUAUUAAACUUCUAAACCUUCAAACCCUAAUUCUCCCUUUUUCUUUUCUUUCUCCUUUCUUUCUUUCCUUCCCCUGCUUUUCAUUUCUUCUAUUCUGCAUCUUUCCUACUUUUUCUUUCUUUUAUUUUCAUUAAACUAUUAUAUAUUAUUUAUACUUAAAUUAGUAAUACUUAUUUAUUAUUUAUACAUGUGUAUAUUAUUAGCACAUAUGUAUCCAUUUAUAACCAUACAUUUGUCAUAAUUUAAUUUAUUUAUUACAUAAAAAUCUUAUAAUAUAAUUAUUUAAUUAAUAAAUAUAUUUUACUUAAUAAUUAUCUAUUUAAUAACUAAAUACAAGUAUCACAAAUGUAUGUAUUUUUAUUAAUACACUUGUAUCAAAUCAUCAUCACACAUUUGUCUUUCUUUAAUUCAUUUAUUUAUUUACUUUAUUUAAUUAAUAUACAAUAAUAAUUUUAAUAUAAUAAUAUUUGCUUAAAUAAUAAGUAAAUACAUACAUGUAUUACAAAUGCAUGUAUAAUAUUUAUUACACAUGCAUAUUUUUAUUACCACACAUUUGUCACUAUUUUAAUUUAUUUAAUAAUGUAGUAAUUUAAUAUCAAUUAAAUAAUAAUAACCAUAAUAAUAAUAAAUUAAUUAUUCUAAGAAAAGUCUUAGAUUUUUCCAUCUUUUGUCGCCUAAAUUAGGACAAAUGGCAUAAUUGUCAUUUUGGUCCUUUACAUUUUCUUUUAAUCUAUAAUUCAACUUUCACACUUUAUUCAAUUUAAUUCUUAUACCUAUUUAGCCUCAAUUUCAGCUAAUUCAUCCUGUUAAACUCUAAUUAAUCACUCAAUUAUCUUCGUAAAUAUUUUUAAUAAAUAUUUAUGAAUCUAUUUUUCAGAAAUAGAGACCCGAUAAUAAACUUUUUCGAUAACCGUAAAAUUUGGGUCGUUACAAGAAAUUAAAAUUUCACUGCAUCAAUAUCAUAAACGCAACUCCGUAAUUGAGUUGAAAGCAAACCUGAAUAAGAUUAAAGAAUUGAAAGGAAAAAUAGAAGAGCUCAAGACCGCACUGCAAAACUGUGAACUUCGAGUUGAGCUUCUUGAAAUGAACAAUGAACACUGGAAAGAGCAAUAUCAAUGCUCUCAAUAUAAGAUUAGGGAUAUAGAUUACAUGAUGGACAAAGUUUUGGCUCAAGUACAGGAAGUAACAAAUCAUUUGCAAACUCUAGCGGUUCAAGCCGACAUACUAAGCUUAAAAUACAAAUCAGAAUUGGAUCGGGGUCGAGAAUUAGCUUGGCUUCUUAGGAAAGUUAAGGCUUUGAGUAUUAGGGCAAGGCCGUAUAUGUAAAAUGUAUCUGUUUUAUGUAAAGAGAUUCAUUUUCUAGUAAAGACAUACCAACCGAAUAUCGUUACGGUAUCUAAGGUAAACCAAGGACAUGGAUCAAAGAUUAGAGAAAUUGGAACAAAUUCAGAAAGAUAUGCACGAUCAGUCGCAAGCCCAACUACAUGAACAAUUAGUUAAGGUACAACAAGAGAUGAGGGAUCAAAUACAAGAGUCCCAAAGAAACAUGAUAAGCCAGUUGAUUCAGUUGCUGGCUGGAAGGACUGAAAAAGAGAAAAAUACUGUAAAUAACUCCGGGGAUGAUAAUAAAGACCCUAUAUUUCCCCUUUAGGCUUUGCCCCAGCAAAUUUCCAAGCCUAACCAGAUACAUAUCCACGAAGGGUACCCAUUACCAUAAGACCUCAACAAUAUCAAGCCGGCACUUCAGCACUGGUGAGUUACCCAACAAGCCGUCAUUCCAGAUUUGGACGACAUGGCAGAAAUUGAUAGAGCAAAAGUGGAACAACCGAAACAGUUAGAAGACCAGUGCAAGUGGUUGGAGGAGAAAUUCAUAGCUAUGGAGAGUACUGAUUACCUUUGCGAGGUUGAUGCUAAGGAGCUGAACUUAGUCCCAAAUCUAGUGCUCCCACCAAAAUUCAAAACUCCAGAAUUCAAAAAAUACAACGGGACUAGUUGUCCUAAAGCCUAUAUCGCAAUGUUCUACCGAAGGAUAACGGGAUACGUCAAUAAUGAAUAAUUGCUAAUUCACUGCUUUCAGGAUAGUUUGAUCGGGCCAGCCGUUAAGUGGUACAACCAACUAUGUUGUGCCAAAAUCAACUCAUGGAAAGACUUGUCAUAAGCUUUCAUGAAACAAUACAGCCAUGUGACCGACAUGACACUUGAUAGGAUUACACUGCAAAACAUGGUAAAGAAGCAAAAUGAAAGCUUUAGGAAAUAUGCUUAAAAAUGGAGAGAGGUAGCAACGCAAGUUCAGCCACAUCUUCUAGAGAAUGAGACAACAAUAUUUUUCGUAAAUACUUUGAAAGCCCUGUUCAUUAACCAUAUGCUGGAAAGUGCUACCAAAAGCUUCUCAAAUAUAGUAAUGUUCAGAGAGAUGAUUGAAAACACAGUAAGGAAUGGGAAAAUAGAUGCGGGGAAAAUGCCAAAAGAUCAGCCCCGAGAAAGAAAGAAAAUGAAGUGAAUAAUGGGAGUUUGUAUAAUAAAGGUUAUUCAAAACUAGUCACUGUAAGUCAACCAAGGACCGUAAUAACCAGCCAUCAAGGCCCCUCAAGACAAAAACCUAACUCAAGGCCAAACACAAACAAACUACAGUUCAUACCCAUCUCGAUGACAUAUAGGGAGUUAUAUCAGAACUUGUUCGAUGCGCAUGUGGUAUUCUCGUUCUACUUUAAACCCAUGCAACCUUUGCUCCCAAAAUAGUAUGAUGCGAAUGCUUAAUACGAGUACCAUGCAAGAAUAACGAGACACUCAAUGUAGAACUGCACUACAUUCAAAAAACUGAUUCAAAGAUUCAUCAAUAUAGGAAUUGUAAAGUUUAAUGAUCCAUCGGGACCUAAUGUGGUAGGAAAUUCUAACCCAGCUAUUCAGAGAAAGGGGUAAAUGCGAUAAUUGAGAAUGGAAGAAAAACGACCAAAAUUGAUUUUACAGAAGUAAGAUCCCUAUUAAAUUGCGUUUGGCCAGAAAUGAUAAACAUGGGAUUAAUCGUUCAAGAUUCGAAUGAGGCACCUAAAAGAGUGAUGAGCUGCUGUGAGUUCUACACUGAAGAAGGUCAUGAGAUCCAAGAGUGUGCUGAAUUUAAAGCUUUGGUGCAAAGUCUAAUGGAUAACAAAGAGUUGGAAUUCUUUGAAGAUGUCAAGGACUCAGAAGGAUGACAUGUUUGCCCCUCAAAGGAAGGAUCAACAGAUAAGGUCCACCAGGUCAACCACCCGGUGGUGAUUAUUUCAAAGCCAAGAAACAAUGAAGUGGGAGCACAAGUUGCAUCGAAAGUUAUAAUUCAGAAACCCGUGGCUUUUUCUUAUAAAGACAGCAAAAGGGUUCCAUGGAAUUACGACUGCAACGUGGUGAUCCCAGGAGAGGAAAACUCAAUUGGCACUUUAGAAAAGGGCCAAUAUAUUGGUUUCUACAUGCGUAGUGGGAAGCGCUAUGAACCUGCAGGUGUGAAAAUCAAGCCCACUAAAGAAAAAAACCCUUGUAGUUCAGGAAAAGAAAGAAAAAAAGGUUAGAUUUGAAUCACCUGUUAAUGAGCUAAUAAAUGACAACGAGGCUAAGGAAUUCCUAAAAUUCUUGAAACAUAGGAAGUAUAGUGUUGUGGAAAGGCUACACAAACAACCAGCUUGCAUAUCAGUACUAGCCUUGUUCUUGAGCUCAGAGACACAUCGUAGCGCGUUGAUGAAAGUGAUGAAUGAAGUUUAUGUCACUAAUGAUAUCUCUGUAAACAAGCUAGACCACUUCCUUAACAAUAUAAGUGCCGAAAAUUUCAUCUUUUUUAAUGACGAUGAAAUACCUCUUAGGGCAUGGGAUCCACGAAGGCCCUACAUAUCACUACCUAAUGUAAAUGAUAUACAAUGUCAGGGGUGUUAAUCGAUAAUGGAGCUUCACUGAACGUCUUGCCUCUAUCCACCCUGAACAGAUUGCCAGUGGAUAGCUCUCAUAUGAAGACGUGUCAAAGCAUAAUGAGAGCAUUCGAUCGUAUAGAAAGGAGGGUGAUAGGAAGGAUUGAAAUACCUCUCUUAAUUGGUCCGAAUACAUAUAAGGUAUACUUUUUGGUGAUGGAUAUCAAGCCCUCUUACAACUGCUUGUUGGGUAGACUUUGGAUUCACUCGACUGGGGCAGUGCCAUCGUCACUAUACUAAAAACUAAAAUUGGUAAAGGAAGGUCGACUAGUAACGAUAAAUGUUGAAGAGGAUAUUAUUACAUCCGUAACUAGCAACAGAAUUUUCCUCUCAAUAACUGGAAUUUGUGAAUGCAACAUUCAUUGUUGAAGGAAGCAAAAUCCCAGUACCUAAAAUAUCCAAAACUACGAGGAUGGGUCUGCAGUUGGCAAUUAGGAAAGGAGCCUUACCUAGGAAGGGACUCGAAAAAUACUUACAAGGAAGGGUCGCUGCACCAAUGCUGUUGGACAAACGAGACCGCUUUGGCCUAGGAUACAAGCUAGAUGCGAGGCAAAGGAAGAAAGAGUUGGAGUAGAAGCAAGAAAGGAGAAGAACGUGACUGAGUGGAGGAGAAGUCAAGUUUGAAUCGACGAUCUUUCAUCAUAUAUCCAAAAUAUUCGAGUCAAGAGGAACCAUUUACCCAAAAUAAAAUAUGUCAAGAAAAGAAACUGCGAAAAAAAUGUUGGGAAACUUGAGCAUCAAUGCCAUAUUCGAAGAAGGAAAGAGGUGAAGAUCGGAGUUUGUAUCACUGAAGAGACAAAGCAAGACCUCAUUAAGUUACUCUAAGAAUUCAAAGAUGUCUUCACAUGGUUGUAUUAAGACAUGUUUGGUCUAAGUACUAAUAUCGUGGUACACCGGCUUCCCAUAAGGGAAGAAUACAAGUCGGUUCAACAGAAACUUCGAAGGAUGAGGCCUGACGUCCUGUUAAAAAUAAAAGAAGAGGUCAAAAAGGAAUUUAACGCUGGUUUCCUGCAAGUGGUUAAAUACUCGGAGUGGAUAGCUAAUAUAGUCCCCGUCCCUAAGAAAUACGGGAAAGUACGAAUAUGUGUGGAUUACAGAGAUUUCAACAAAGCCAUCCCGAAGGAUAAUUUCCCCUUACCUCACAUCGAUACCUUAUUGGAAAACAGAAUAGGUUAUUCACUUUUCUCCUUCAUGGAUGGCUUCCCUGGAUACAACCAGAUCAGGAUGCAUCCUGAAGAUAUGGAAAAGACCACAUUCGUAACCAUGUGGAGAACAUUUUACUAUAAAAUAAUGCCAUUCGAACUGAAAUAUGCGGGAGCGACAUAUCAAAGAGUCAUGGUAACUUUGUUUCAUGAUAUAAUGCACAAGGAAAUUGAGGUUUAUGUCGAUGAUAUGAUAGCAAAAUCCCGAACAGAUAAAGAGCAUAUUCAAGUCCUGAAAAAAAUUCUUCUUAAGAUUGAGAAAUUUCAGCUAAAACUCAAUCUAGCAAAAUAUAUCUUCAGGGCUAGGUCAGGAAUAUUGCUAUGAUUCAUAGUCAGCGAAUAUGGGAUCAAAACUGACCCGGACAAAAUUAAAGUUAUACAAGAGGUCUGGGGUUUCUUAAGGAUAUUAUAUUACAUUGCUCGGUUCAUUUCACAACUAACCGAGAAAUGCGACCCCAUAUUCUGUCUCCUUAAUAAACAUAAUCUAAAUGUAUGGAAUGAGGAGUGCCAGAAAACUUUUGGCAAGGUCAAACAUUACUUGUCCAAUGCUCCAGUGCUACUGUUACCUAGUCCAGAUAAGCCAUUUAUACUGUACUUGGCAGUAUUUGGAAAUUCCAUAGGAUGCGUGCUAGGCCAACAUGAUGAGUCAGAGAGGAAAGAAAUAGUGAUAUAUUACCUUAGUAAGAAGUUCACUGAAUGUGAGACAAGAUACUUGCCAACUGAGAAGUUGUGUUGCGUCUUAAUCUGGACAACCUGAAGACUGAGACAGUACAUGUUGUACCACACAACUUGGCUUAUCUAAAAAAUGAACCCACUGAAGUACAUAAUUGAGUCAGCUACUCUAAAUGGAAGGAUGGCCUGAUGGCAGAUUCUACUUUCUGAAUUUGAUAUCAUUUAUGUGAACCAGAAGGCAAUAAAAUGGAGUGCAAUAGCAUAUUUUCUAGCCAGUAGAGCUCUAACAGAUUACGAGCCUCAAGAAGAACAUCCUUAGAAACAAAAUUUUGAUAGGGCUUCAAACAUUAUGGGUAACAGAAUCGAUGCAAUCCUGGCAUCCCCAUAUAGAGAUCAUUAUCCCUUUACUAGUAAAUUAAAAUUUGAUUGCACGAACAAUACGGCAGAAUACGAAGCAUGUAUCAUGGGUAUCCGUGUAGCCAUAGAACGCAAGAUCAAAAUACUAGAGGUAUAUGGGGAUUUUGCAUUAGUGGUCUAUCAACUGAAAGGUGAAUGGGAAACAAGAGUUCCCAAGUUGAUCAAAUAUAGAAAGCUGGUCCUAGAGUUAAUUAAAGAAUUUGAUGACAUCACAUUUUGCUACCUUUUGCGAGAUGAAAAUCAGAUGGCUGAUGCCUUAACUACUUUAGCUUCCAUGGUCAAAAUGAACAAACAAGAGGAUGUAAAACCUAUCCAGAUAAGUAUUUAUGAGGCUCCGACUCAUUGUUACAAUAUAGAGGAAGAGGAAGAAGAUGAUCACCCUUGGUACCACGAUAUACUGCGAUACAUAAAGAAUCGUGAAUACCCUGAUCAAGCGACUGAGAAUGAUGAAAUGAUGCUGAGGAGACUGGCCAAUCACUAUGUCUUAGAUGGGGAGAACUAUUCGUGACAGGUAAAUUUUAUAUAUUUAUAAUUAAUCGUUCUUGAAACUAACUAUUAUCACGAUGUAGGCAAGUGUACCUAUCGAACAGUAGCAUAGUUUCAGCAAGAUCGGAUUGUCGAACCAAAGGAACUAAAAGUACUAGCAAUGACAGUCUUUUUAUUAUCUAGCCUAAGAAUAAGGGGGUUUUGUUUUCACUAACUAAUUAUCUAAACUAAGAAUUCACAGAAAAUAGAAUUGGGAAAUUACUUUUGGAAAAACGAUUGAAUUAAGACAAUACCUAAUUAAGAAUCCACCUAGACUUCACUUGUUAUUCUUACUCCGAAUCGGACGAUUUAUUCAUUUAACUUACUCUGUAGAGAUCCCUAAGUUAGGUUAUUAUCCCUAUACAAGACUAAUAACGUCUAAUCCCUAGAUUGAAUAAUUUAGACUUUUAUCUAAUUAACACCCUAGGGUUGCAUUAACUCGAUCUAUGGAUCCCCUUAUUAGGUUUCACCCUAAUCCAGCAAAAUCUUGUCACCCUAUCUCUAGGCGUGCAAUCAACUCCGCUUAAUUAUGACAAAUUUACUCUUAGACAGGGUCUAUUCCUAUAAAUAAGAGCUUAUCUUGAAUCAGUAUCGUGGGAUAUCAAAACAAGAAUUAAGAACAAGUUAAAUAUUUAUCAUACAAUUCAGAAAAUAAUAACAAGAUUCGACUUAGGUUUCAUUCCCCUUAGGUAUUUAGGGGAUUUAGCUUAUAACUAAAAAGGAAAACAUCUCAGAAGAAUAAUGAAUACAAAACAUAAAGAAAACCCAAAACUCCUGAAGAGAAAUUGAUGGGAGAUCUCCAGUCUUGAUGGUGGAUCCGGCUUCUGAGAUGGAUCAAUUGGCAUCCCUUGAGCAGUUCCCUGCCUCCUUUUCUCUGCGCCCACUUUCCUCUUCCUUUAGGGUGUAUUUAUAGGCUUUGGAAUGCCUAAGAACCCUCGAAAUUAGCCUUUUCCAACUUGGACUCAAAAACAAAGUUUAUUUUUAUUUUAUUAUAUGGUCUGUAUUAUGAUAGACAUGUCGUGUGAAAAAUUUGAUACGAAAAUUUUAUUGAUUAAGUGCUUAAUAAUGAGAAUGUCUAAAUCGUAUAAAAUGCGAAAGUUGAAUUCUAGUAGCUUUAAGGAUUAAAUACUUAUGGAAUUUAAAACUAAAGGUCCUUAUAUGGUAAUUACACCAUUAAAGAAAACUGUGGAUUUUUGGUCGUUCAUCCAUGGAAGAAUUAGAAAAGAGUAGGAACUAAAUUGGAAAAUAAAAUAAUUAAUUAAUUAAAAGAUGAUAAAAAGAAAAUAUCAUCUUAUUUUGUCAUCUUCAACCCCAAAAUUCUAUAGAAACCCUAGGAGAGAGAGAAGAAACUUUCAAGGCUUAGUUAGGUAAGUUUUUUGGUCCCAUUUUUAGUAAUUUUGAUAUUUUUGAAACCGGGAUAGUCUAAUCUAUCUAUUUGAGGGAUUAAUUUGAAAAGUUAUCAAGGUAUGAAAAAUGGGUCAUGGAUGAAUAUGCUGAAAAUUAGAAAUUUAUGGUAGAAAACGAAAGGUUGUUGAUAGAUAAACAACUUUUACAAAGUUAUUUUUUAUGAAAACAUGAUUUAGGGACUAAAAUGUAAAGUUGUGAAAUUUGAUGAAAAAUUUUAAAAUUUUAUGAAUACAUGUGUUGUAAAAAUUUGUAAAGGGAUUUUGGUUAGGCUUGGAAUGGGGAGUAAAUUGCACAAGUUUCAUUUUCCGAGCCUAGGGAGAAAAUUGAAAUUUAUGUAAAAGUUAGGGGCAAAAUGGUAAUUUUGCCUAAGACGUAAAUUGAGUCCAAAUAAAUACGAAAUGAGAUGAAUUGAUGAUUAAAUUCAUUUAUAUAGAUCCGGAUAACACAAACUUGAGGCCAGCUCGAGGAAAAGAAAAGAUUUCGGAUUAGUAGAUUAUUUACGCGAACAAGUGUCGAGGUAAGUUCGUGUAACUUAGUCGAAAAUGUAAUUGUGUUAAUUGAAUGUUGUAUUUGUAUGUAAUGUUACUUAUAUUGAAAUGUAUUACUUGAAUGCUAUAAUGGAAAAUUUCAUACAUGCUUGAAAUGAUGAAAAAGGGGUUAAGUCCCAAUUGAAAAUUGAAUUCCAAUAAUUAUAUGCGCUUUCUUGAAACUAAUAAGGUCCUGCAUUUGGUGCGAACGGGAUUUAGCUCGGACGAGUAAUCCUAUUGACCUUGUUAUGGAAAAGAUUUAGCCCAGACGGGUAAUCUUGAUAUAAUACCUCUCGAGUAUACGUUACGAUUAGGGUUUAGCCUGGACUGGUAAUCCUAAUAGAGCUCUUUAAGCAUACGUUAUAUAAAGGAUUUAGGCUAGACUGAUAAUCUUGGAUUGAUAAUCCUGUUAUACGAUAUGUGACUCAAGAGCGUGUUCCUCGGUUAAGUGCCCUAAGGGGUACGCUUGAAUAAGAAUUGACGGAUUAUUAAAUGGUACACCCUGAGUGUACCACCUGAGUAUUCAUCGGAAUUUCAAUGAUCCAACGGACAUAUAACUAUUGACAUGGCAUAAGAAUUUUGAGAUGAAAUGAUAAUGUCUUGAAAGAGUAUUGCAUGAUAAGCUCAUCUAUCCUUAUUUGAUGUAUAUGUAAACUUUGUGACUAACAUGUUUGAUUGGAUGCAUGUGGUUAGGCAAUUUUGCCAAAUGGAUGGAAAACUUGUUACUGUAUGCUUAGAUUUAAUAAAUGAGAUUGGUAAGUUUAGUAUCCAUUAUACGAACUUACUAAGCAUGUAAUGUUUACUCCAUUUUAUUUUUCCCCUAUUUUAUAGUGCUCGGAAGUUUGCGAAGGUUGGAGAUCACUCGAGCAUUGUCACACUAUCAACUUACUUAUUUUGGGUAUACUUAGUAAAAUCAUUUUGGUAUAAUGGCAAGUAUAAGACAACUUGACCAUUAGUUGCUUGAUAAUGAUGCUUGUAAUCUAGCAAUUGGAAUGGCUAGUAAUGGUUGUUUUGAUAUACUUGUACUGUCAUGCUAUGGUAGCUAUAUUUAUAUCAUAAGUAGUUGAUCAACAUCAAGUUUAACACAUGGUUUGAACUAAAGUAAGAUUGUAAACAUAUAUACAUGAAAUGAUAUGCCAUGUUGAAUGAUGGAAAUUGCCUAAUUUGAAUACUUGAAAUGGUUAAAAUGUGUUUGGUAUGUUACCGUGCAGGAAAAUGGUAAAUUUGGGUGACAAAUAAGUCUAGGAAAUGACUUUAUUUUGUCCACAUGGGCAUGUGUCUAAACCGUAUGUGACACACAGCCGGGUACAUGGGCGUGUAGUUAGGCCGUAUGUUCCAUGCACCUUAAUUUUGAGAAACAUAAUGCUCAUAAUUGUGCACAAGGACAGAGACACGGGCGUGUGUCUCAGCCGUGUGUGCUACACGGCCUAGAACACGGGCGUGUCUUAGCCGCGUGAAACUUGUACCUAAUUUUGAAUUGAAUUAAUUAACCACACGGUCUAGCACACGGGCAAGUGGCAUAGUCAUGUGCACAAGUCAGAGAGUUACACAGGGUAGGACAUGGCCGCUAGCACGGGCGUGUCCCUUGGACACACGGGCGUGUGAGCCUUGCACCUUGGAAAAUUUUAUAAUUUUGUGAAAAAUUCUUAGAGCUCCCGGUUAAGCUCGGACUUCAUUCUAAUGCUAGUAUUGCGCCUCGAGGGUCCAAUUAAAGGACAUUUUGAAUAAUCUCGGCAAAUGAAUAGUAAUUAACAUAAAUUAUUUGUAAAAUGUUCUUAAAGUUUUAGAGAUGCUCUGAAACCCUGUUUCGAUGACAGAUACGGGUUAGAGGUGUUACAACACAUGCUAAUUGUUUUACAAUGGCCAGACAAAUCAUGAGACUCGAGUAUUAUUGGUCCACUAUAGAAGGGGAUUGUAUCAGUUAUGCCAAACGAUACCAUAAGUGUCAAAUUUAUGUAGAUAAAAUUCAUAUGCAUCAUUCACCUCUUCAUGUUAUGACUUUUCCAUGGCCUUUCUCCAUGUGAGGUAUAGAUGUCAUUGGGCCGAUCUCACCAAAAGCAUCUAAUGGGCAUCAAUUUAUCAUCGUGGUCAUUGAUUACUUCACCAAGUGGGUAGAGGCCACUUCUUACGCCAAUGUCACAAAAUCGAGAGUCGGUAAAUUCUUAAAGAAAGAGAUCAUAUGUCGGUAUGGGAUGCCAGAAAGGAUUAUAUCUGACAAUGUAUUGAACUUGAACAACAACACGAUAGCAGAGGUCUAUAGUGAAUUCAAGAUCAAACACCACAACUCGUCACCAUAUUACCCAAAAAUGAAUGAGGCGGUGGAUGCAACCAAUAAGAACAUUAAGAAGAUCGUGGAGAAAAUGACUGAGACUUAUCAAGAUUGGCAUGAGACAUUUCCACUUGCCCUUUAUGCUUAUCGAACGUUUGUUAGGACCUCCACCGGGGCAACACAUUUCUCAUUGGUUUAUGGAAUAGAGGCGAUUUUGCCUAUUGAAGUCGAGAUUCCUUCUUUCUGAGUUUUGUCAGAGUUGAAGUUAGAUGAAGCAGAAUAGAUCCAAUCUCAAUCUAAUCAGCUAAACUUGAUUGAAAAGAAGAGGCUGAAAGCUAUCCGUCGUGGUCAGAUGUACCAAAAACGAAUGAUGCGAGCAUAUGACAAAAAGGUUCGCCCCAGAGAAUUCCAUGAGGAGGACCUGGUAUUGAAAAAGGUCAUUUCUAUACAAAAUGACUUCAGAGGAAAGUGAUGCCAAACUGGGAAGGACCUUUAUAUAGUAAAGAAGGCCUUUUCUAGAGGAGCGCUGAUUUUGACCAAGAUGGAUGGCAAGAACCUGCAUAAUCCUGUGAAUUCAGACUCAGUGAAGAAAUAUUUCACUUGAAAAAAAUGAGAGACCAAGGCGAAAACUCGCAAAGGGCGCCUUGAGAUCAAAAGGGUUCUGAGUUGAAAACCAGGAAAAUGGCAGCUCAAAUUUAGAUUGAAGAUUGAACAUGUGAUGGUUAAGUCUUCUCGAAAGGAAGAACGUUACAUUUUGGGGCAUAAACAAAAUACUUUAGAUCUCCUAAACACAUCAAGUUCAAAAUGGUCUUCGAGAAGUUUGUGCAGAGAAGCUCAUGCUAUGAUAUUUGGGGCACCUGUUUUCAUCUUACUCAUUUUGUAUUUUAGCAGCGUUUGAUAUUUUGAUCAAUCUAUUCAUUUCGAGCUUUGAUCCCAAUAAAUUUCAAUCUUGUCCACUGUUAUGAUCUUUUUCAAGCAUUUUUCAUUGAAAUAAAGAUUAAUGGACAAAUAAUAUUCAAGUAAAAGGAUUUCUGCAUAUUUCUCUGAAAGGUUUUCUAAAUAGUACAAGAAUCUGAAACAGGACCACUAGUCAGAACUAACCAAGUCUAGGAGUUGGAAAUGUUUAGGAAUGAAUAGUUUAAAUUGUGAUUACUUCUUUGGGUUUUCUGUCAAAGAUACUAGCUGAACAAGAAGGCAGGGUAAUGCGUCAGUGAUAAAAUCUUGAUGAAUAACAAGCAAUGUCAACCUAAGCAUUAAAAGGGGAUUAUUCUCGAAAAAAAGACAUUAUACAUUCAUGCAAAUGUCAUUCAUACACAUCUAAUUAGGAGCAUUUGAUUCAUUCUGAUCAUAGCAUCCAAAUCAUUUGGCAUAAAUAUAGGCCCAUCAAAUGGAUUCUAUAGGUCAUGUUCCCUAGAAAACGGUGUAAUAGAUCAGUGAAACCACAAAUCCUAUACCCCUGAAGUUGCUGUGUGACGGAUUAAAGUCAUCGUGGCGAAUCUUAUCUCCCUGAAGUUGUAAUGGAGCAAACCAAAGCUACAAAUCUUAUCUCCCUGAAGUUGCAAUGGAGUAGAUCGAAGAUAGCAAAUCUUAUCUCCCUAAAGUUAUAGUGGAGCAGAUUAAAACCACAAAUCUUAUCUCUCUAAAGUUGCAGUAGAGCAGAUUAAAGCUACAAAUCUUAUCUCCCUAAAGUUGCAAUGGAGCAGAUUGAAGAUAGCAAAUCUUAUCUCUCUGAAGUUGCAGUAGAGCAGAUUAAAGCUACAAGUCUAAUCUCCCUGGAGCUGUAGUGGAGUAGAUUGAAACAACAAAUCCUAUACCCCUGAAGUUGCAGUGGGUUAGAAUGAGGCUACCUGAAGAAAGGGAAGCACCACAGAAGUCGAGAUUCGACAAGACCAAGGAAAAUUGGCAGUUUUAAAGUCUUUGCUCCAUUCUCGUUACAUGACAAUGAGCAAAGUGGGGUAGUUGUAACAGGCCAAUUUAGCCCGGGCCCAAACAAACCAAACCAAAAAUAAAUAAAAAGGUCCAAUCCAUUUACAAAAAAAUCUCAGACCCAAAUAGCCCAAAACAAAACCCUAAGACCCAAUUACAAGCCCAAACACUUAAACAAUUUUCAGCAAAAAAAAAAGGAACAGAAACCCUAGCCGUCGCACCCUAAAUCCCUAGCCAGCCGCCGCCGUCGCUCUUCCUGCAUCAGCACCACAUCCUAGCCCCCAACCACUCCUGAUAAGACGAAGCAACAUGCAAUAGCAAGUACAAAACAGUAAAGAAAUUGAUAAAAAUAAUAAGUGUAAUCGGCUAUAAAAGCCUAAAAAAAUAUAUUGUUGUUCUUCAUCUCUUUUUUUAAAAAAAAAUUGAGAAAUAUACACAAAAAAAAAAUCAAAAUAUGAAAUAAAUAAAAAAACUUCAAAAGGUGAUCUUUUUAAUUUUUUCCUUUUAAUUUUGUUAUUACAUAUAUAUAUAAAGAAAAGUUUGAAGGUUCACCGGAUGCCUUGCGCUCCAUUACCGUGAGAAAGCGAGGCUGUCACCUCGGAUGAAACAUGACUUUGAGGAGUUUUUCUUUUUUAAAAACUCAGAAAAUCAAAAGGUUUUGGGUCUGUUCUUUUUUUUUUAGUAGGUUUCAGGGGUUUUGGGUUUCCAAUAUGGGUUUAUUAAAAAAAGGCGGCCAAAUAUAGUUUUUUUGUAAAAUCAGACCACCGGUGGUGUGAAAUGAUUUUUUUUAGAAUAUUUUUUACUUAUAUAGGCUUCUAAAACAACACCGUUUUGGGAGUCACCCCAGACGCCCAACAUAACGUCGUUUUGGUGCGACCCGUGGUCUAACCCGAUCCACCUCUAGGAUCCACGCGUUUUUAAACUGAGGGUCUAUUUACUCUUUCGAUCCUCCCACUUUUUCACUAUUUCUCAAUCUCAUCCUACUGCUAUUUAUUAUUUCUUUUAAUUUAGCCCUUUUAUUCUAUUUUUUGUGCAAUUUGAUCCCCCAAUUGCUACCCCCUAAGGAAGGACACGUGCCCAAGAACUUUGGAAUAAUUUCUUAUUUGGUCCCUGUUUAUUUUAGCGUGUUUUAUUUUGAUCCCCUAUUUUGUUUUUUUACAAUUUACGCCCUAUAAUUUCAUUUAAAUUUCGAUCUAGUCCUUUUUUAUUUUAUUACAAGUUAGCCCCUUUAUUAUUUAUCUUAUUGUGAUUUACCAUAUUAUUUCAUUUAAAUUUUAAUUUUAACCUUUGCUUAUUUAAUUUCCUCUCUUUUACAAAUUGUUUUAUUUAUUUAUUUAUUUAUUAAAAAAUCAUAUUGUUUAUAUCAUUUUAUUUGUGCAUUUCUUUGUUCAUUUAUUAUUGUUGUCAUUAUUAUUUUAUUUUUUAUUUUUAUUCUUGUUAUUUUAUUAUCCCUUUAUUAUUUUUGGUACUCUCAUGUCAUGUUUAUUUAUAUUUGUUUUUUUCAUCAUGCAUUUUCCAUUUUAUUUUAUUUUAACAUUACCUUAUUAUUAUUAUUAUUAUUAUUAUCAUCAUCAUCAUCAUCAUCAUCAUCAUCAUCAUCAUCAUCAUCAUCAUUUGAUCAUUAAUAUUAUUAUUAAUUACAUUAGUAUUACUAUAGUAUUCCUUAUUUACUUAUUAUAUAUUAUUCUAAUGUUUUACAUUUAGCCAUUUUACAUUAUUUCAUUAUCAUAUCAUACAAUAUAAUUACCCAUUUUGUACAAUGCCCAAAUAACUAAAAUGCAUACCGUUUUAAGCUUUACGCUCGUUUUUCGCAUGAUGCAUAAAAAAAGAAAUUUUUUAAACCGAGGCAAAUGUUCAUUAUUUUGGAAUUAGAAAAGUCAUGUUCCUAACUUACGGAAUAUCGCUUCCUUCUAAAACCGAGAUAAUUGAAUAUCUAUUUUAAAAUAAAUAUAAAAAAUAAGAUUUUAGCAUUUGUUCUUGUUUACGAGAAUUUAAGGCAUUGUGUCCUAAUUUACGGGACAUGGUCCUUUCUUCUCGAUUAACUUGAAAUAAUCCCCUUUUUUUAAAAACCAAUUUAGUUAAGUAAUGUCUUAAUAAAUGAUCGUAUUUUAAAAUCUCUUCAAAUUUUUAAUUUUCGACACUAAAGACAUCAAAUAAUCAAUUAGGUACCAAUUUUGGGCGUAACGAGGGUGCUAAUCUUUCCUUGUGCGUAACCGACUCCCGAACUCAUUUUCUGGAUUUUUGUAGACUAAAAAAUAUUAUUUUGAUAAAUCAAACCUCUUAUUAAAAUGAUCAAAUUAUGAGGUGACCCGAUCACGCCUAUUAAAAAUGAUUGGUGGCGACUCCCAUUUUCAUUUAUCUUAAAACCAAAAGUCAAUCUUUCAAAAGGUUUCGACAGGUAUCAAUCAAUAUCGUUCAAUUUCACAUACUUUACGCAUUUUCAUUAUGCAUAAAUAGCACCCUUUUCAAUACACAAUAUAACAAAUAUCUCAUGGGUUAAAUCAUACAUAAGCUUAAUAUCUCAAUAUAUUAUAUCAUUCAGUCAAACAUUCUCAUAUCUCAUAACUCAAAUAUGCAAUUACAAACUCAAUCAAACAUUUAUACUAUGAAACUAGCAAUUUUGCCACCAUGUCAAUAUUUUAAGGCUCGAAACAUACCUGGUUCGGCCACUCACAAAAUCAAUAAUUCGGCUAUUAAUUCAAUCCAAUUAGCAAGCUAAUUUAUCAAAUAUAACAUGGUAUUUAACAUUUUCAAACAAUUUUAUGAGUUUAGGACCGACACCUUAUCCUUCGCUUCCUCGCAGCACAUUAGCAAAUCUUCCAAUUUUCCUUAAUAAUUCCUUAAACGAACCUAAACCAACAUUCAAUAUAAAGUCAAUCAACCAGCCCCUAAACACCCACUUAUGAGUUCAUACCAAUCGUUGAAAUUAUAACUAUUUUAUGAAUCCAAACUAGUUAGAUUCCUUACAUUGUAUCGAUGAAAACCAUACAUACAACCGUUCUUCGCCGUUACUGAUGAUUUGGAGCAUUUGGGUCAGCACCUAAUUCAAUAAUAUACUAGAAAAUUAGUAGCUAAUUAAUGAUUAAAUUCCUUCAUUUAAUCAAUUCAUAACCUUUACCCAACAACUAUGUCGAAAUAACAAAAUAGUUACCCUUAAUUGCACUUACGAUUCACGAUUUGUAGGUUUCAAAUGGCCAAUCGGUCAAGAAUAUUUUUCUCUAAUUGAAAUGGGUUUAAAAUCUGAUUAGGAGGAUUAAAGAACUCAAAUUAAGGUUGGAAAAAUAUAAGCAAGAACCAAGAAACAAAACAGCCCAUUUUCUUGCCCAUAGGUGCACGUACCACCACUCGCAGUGGCCAAAAUCGGGGAUGAAUUUCAAAAUGGUUUGAGAUUUCAUUAAAAUGUUGAAAAAUAAUUUUAAAAUCAUUCAAAAUCCACUAAAUUCAAGAUCUGAAAAUUUUGGUUUUUAAUUGACAAAAUUAAUCAAGAAAUUGAAGAGAAAAGAGACCUUACCCAAGCUAGUCAAGGGAAAUGGCAAUGACACCUUCUUGACAAUGUUCGAGACCGAUCUUGGAGUUCAGGGUUUCAGAUUUGGGGCUUAUUCUAAUGAGAAAAAAUGAAAUAAAUAUGGUGGAGAAUAUGUUAACAAAUCUUGUGGCAAAAAGAAAGAAAAGAAAGAGAUGGUAAAACUAGGUGUAGGCGACGACAACAAUAGAGGAAAGGAAAAAAAAUUAAAAUCAAAGAGAAGGAGAGGAACGGAUGAGGCAAUGAGAAGGAUGAUUAAAGGCUGAUUAUUAGUGAAAAAUUAAUAUUUAUACCUAGGCUAACUAGGCUUGGAUGGCCCACACAUUAAAACAAGGGUUUUUGUCAAAAAAAAUUAAAUUGUUUGCAUGGGAAUGGAAUUGAAGUUAGGACCUUAAGGAUAAAUUCACUAAUUUUUAACCAUCAAACCAAUAGCUCAUUCUUGAGAUAAUUUUGAAAUAUUUAUUUUAAAAAACAAGACAUGUCACAAACUAGGGUUUAAGGAAAAUUUUGCAAAAUAAUAAGAAUGGUGAGAGAAAAGAGAUUUGAACUUGGAUUUCAAGAAACAUUUCACUAAAACUUAACCAACAAACCAAUACCUCAUUUAUUUCUUAAAAAUGCAUAGAUAACCUCAAAAAUUAAGGCAUUACCAUUCUCUCUUGAUUCACAAAUCGGAUUCUACUAAACCCCAAUUUUUGGGAUGUUACACGAGUAACAGUAACAAUUUAUCGGUAAUUCAAACAUAGUAGGCAUGUAUUAGUCACAUAGCAUGCACAUAUAGUAAUAAUAUAUAAUCAAUUAAAUCAUGAGUUCCAUAUUAUUCAUAAUAGAAGGGACUUAAUUGAAAGAUAUAAUAUACUAAAAAUAGUUUGGGAAUUAAUCAAGAACUAAAUUGAACAAAAUAUAAAAUUUUGGGUAAAAUUAUAAAAUCUGAGAAAUAAGGGACACACAGCCGUGUAACCAGACCGUGUGGGAAGCCCUGGGUCAUGUGGAGGGGUUACGGGGUAGUGUGGCUAGGCUGUGUGUCAGACUGUGGUUAUGUGGAAUUUAUAAAAUCAACCUACAAGGGAGACAUGACUAGGUGGCAAGUCGUAUGAAAGGUCCUAGCCGUGUACGAAUAAAAAAACCUAGGGUUUCAAGGGGAACAUGGCCGUGUGAGGGGCCGUGUGGUCUAUUUCGGUGGCUCUCAAAACUGUGUGGCUGGUCGUGUGGCCUUAUCCUGAGGCACAGUUUACCCCGAUUUGCUUGUAAAAGAACACACACCUUUCACCAGGAUCACAAAUGACAUCCCUUGCAUUCAAAUUUAGUCUGAUACACCUGUAACUAGUUCUUCAAACGACAUUUAAACACAUAUUAAGGUUUGUUUUCACGAUCUAUCAAGAUUAACGAAAAAAUUAGCAAUAAAUCAUUAAGAGGUUGAUUAAACGAAUGAAAAAGUAGUUUCGAGAUAAUGAUAUUACGAAUCUUGAAGUUGUCGAGAUAAUGAUAUUACGAAUCUUGAAGUUCGAUUGACAAACAAGGCACUUACUGAUUUUUGAAAAGAUUAGAGAUGAAUUGACGACCAUACAAUCUGGGCCAAUAGGGUCAUGAGGACCAUACGGGCAUGUGUGAAAUCGUGUGUAAGGCCAUGUGGGCUCAAAUUUUGAAUUUUUCCUUAGGGUUGUGUUUGUUGUACCAAUCGUAUGUAAUCCUUCUAUAGGGUCUGUAUGGUACAAAUUAGUCUAUAGAUUCUAAUUUCUUAUACUUUGUUAGAGUUAAAUAAGAUUUAUAUACGCUUGAGUAAUCUGUUGUUUUUGAUUGCAUGAUCUUUUAGAUCCUAAUGUUAUCUUAUUUUGAUAUGAAAAGCAUGUAUGCCAUACACGUAUCUAAUAUCUAAUUAGUUUUACAUGUGCAUUGGGGUGAGAGUUAUAAUUAUGGAGGAAGUGUGGGUCAUUUAGUUUAUAUGUUAUAUUUGGUGGCUCAGCCACAUAUAUAUCUGCUUCUGACAGAUUAUCGCCUAAUGAUUUGGCAGCUAGACAGUAAAUAUUCUAAAAAGUGGUAUACAUUCACUUAGCAGUGUAUGGGUUGGAUGGGUAUUUAAUACCCUAAAUAGUAUGUAGGGAUGGUUAGAGAUGGCGUCUAGUGGAUAGGGGUAGGAUUUUAAUUUGUAUCUGAUAUGCACUGAUUCUAUUAUUGUUUAUGAAAUGUGUCUGAUUGGCAUCUAAAUGCAUGUAUGAAAUCGUAUAUGUUGUUUUAUUGUUAUAAGUUACACAUUGAUACCGAAAGCUCAUUAUCUGUUUGUUUGAUUGCUAGGUAAUCCUAAAACAUAGGACAGGUCGGUGCAACGGGAGCUUGGUUAAACACUUUUAAUUUGUACUAUUUAAAAUUUGGAUUUUUCAUUUUUGGCACUGUUGGUCUAUUUCGGACAUUUGGGACUAUUUUUGUUUAGAACUUUUAUUUUAUGUUUGAAACUAUUCAAUCAUUUUAAAAUCAUAACUACACUUUUGGCAAAACGUUGGGUUUUCAAAAUUCAAACUGUAGUUUCCAAACUGAAUUUAACUAAGAGUUCCACUACAAACAUAAGCAUCCUAUAAAGUAUAAUUUAAUCGACAGAAUCAAUGAAUUAAAUAAGGAAUAUAUUUUCAUUUAAGAUCAACCGAAAUUGCUUUAUCAGAAGCUUGUGUUAUUUCUGGGAGCCUAAAUGAUUUCUGAAUUUUCAAAGUAAAUCAUGGAACUUCUCCAGAUUUAGCCGUAACGUCUAGGCCAGGUUUGGGGUGUUACGUUUGGUGGUAUCAGAGCCUAGGUUUAAGACUCGGGUUGUAAUUUUUGGGUUCAAAUUUUGUAAAAAGUGUUUUAAAAUAAAAUAUUAUUUUUUAUUAAAUCCAAAAAAUAAGUUUUUAAAAUACCGAGUCUCCAGCACCGAUCCUAUAAGUACUUCUGUCUUAUCUAAACUUUUAGUUUAGAAAAACACUACAAUAUUAGAAUUACUCUACUGUAGUUAAAUACCGUAGCAACUCUGUAAAAUCUUCUAAUAAAAUUCAGGACAUAAAAUAUUUAGUAACAAACUUCAAAAUUGAUGCAUAAAAUUCUAGAAAUGUAGAUAUUUUACAAUAACUAUGCAUCAAACUCGUGGACGAGGUACCCGUGUGAUGCGACCCCAGCCGCAUCAUGUUAGACACAACUCGACGUUACCGAGAUUGGCCUAAACACGAGUGGCCCAAGUGCAAAAUGAAAUUUAAUUUCGAUUUGUUAACUUGUGUACAGGUUUUAAUGGUUCGAGAUUGGGGUGGAAACCAUUGAUGGAAUAAUCGAACAAUCAUGGAUGUCCAACUCAAGUGUUCCAUGUCAGUUGAAACAAGCUCAUUUAGCUCGUUUAUAGCUCAUCUUAGCUUAUUGAGCUCCAUAUUAUUUCUUUUUAGCUUGUGCAUCAAUUUGCUGGAAUAUCUAAUUUGAUUUAGCUCAAUUAUAGCUUUCUUUAGUUUAUGCAUUUAGUUGCUGGAAUAAACUUAAAUAAAAUUUAGUUUAAGUAUUAAAUGAGUCUCAGUAAUGUGUUUAGUUAUUUUAGUUUAAGUAAUUAAGUUGUUUUAAUUUUACUUAGUUGUUUAAAUAAUUUCGGCAAUUAAUAUGUUCCAUCUUAAUUAAUUUGCUACAGCCAUUUAAUUUGUUUAAUUGUUUUUAUAGGUGAAUUAAUCAUUUGAACUAGCUGUUACAUGGAUGGGCAUUUAAAGAGAGGAAUAAAUUCAGCUAUUAUGGAGAUGAGUUAAAGGCCAACAGCUGUUAUGAGCUUUUCCAAGUAAAUGUUUAAAGAGUUUAAUGGACAAUGAGUUAUUCAUAUAAGUCAUUCAAUUUCCAAACAUUUUUCACAAGAUACGUCCAUUUACACCUUUGGUUGGUUAUAUUUAAGCAUUUACACAAAGAAGGUUGUUCAUGUGCCAAAUGACAUUCAUUUUUGGCAGUUUUCCAUUCGGUUGCCCAAGGGGAAAUUAAAAGGUUGUUAUCAAGCAUUGAACCAAAUUUAUUCAGCUCAUUAGAGCUAAUUACUAGCUGAUUGGGAAGAUUAAACAUGUUGUCCAUUGCCGUUACAUACGUUUAGAGUUCAUCAAAGGUCUUGUAGUUUUAAUUAGCUUAAUUAAGUUCAUCAAAAGCUUAAUUAAGUUGAAUAUUUGUGUCCAUUCGGCUGGGGUUUGUCUCAUGCCUAUAAAUACUUUGUUUCCAGCUAAUUGUAGGAACUUUUUGCUAAAUUUAUGAAAUAUUUAAAAUUUGUGAGAGUUCAAAUCUCCUUGUUCUUUUUGGGACUAAUCUGAAUUAUCAAGCUAGGCUUGUGGCAUUUUAUCCUUCCUUUCUUUUCUGAACUUAUCACUUCAAGUGUGGCGUUCGUUAUACCUUUGGUUCCUAUCUCGUUAGAUAGCGGGUCAAGGUUUAUUUACUGUUUUCAUCGAUUGUUAUCCAUCUAAGUGCUUGUAAGACUUGGGUCAACAAUCUUUCAUAUUGUUGGUUCGGCCUUUACCUUAGCUAAACCUAUCCAUUCCUUCCCUAAACAUUCUUUGAACUUUUGUUUGAGCCUAUCUUCUACCCGUUUUUAGCCUUUCUUGAAACGAAGCACAAUUUACUCAAUUUCUCGAUUGGGCACACACAUAUGACUCGAAACUACAUCAACCGAGUUCAUAUCACCAUGAGCGUGGUGGGAGUCAAAAAGGGGCUCGAACUAAGCCAUCUUCGAUGGGCAAUAUGCCCAAUAUGGAUUUGAGCGAGACUAUGGGUACGCCUAAUGCUGAGACAUGGUUUCAGACUCAGACGAUUGAGGAUGAUGCAUUAUCCCAAGCCAUGUUAAGAGUUCUUGAGUAGGUCGUUGGGACCCAUUCUGGAUCCGAGAGCCAAGGUUCAGUAACUGAAUGACUCCGGUCCAAUGGAGCAGAGUUAUUUAAGGGCGUCACUAUGGUCAUCUUGAUUGUGGCCGAGUACUGAUUUGGUGGCUACAGAGAGGAUUAUGAACGACUUAAACUGCACUCCUAAGUAGAAACUAAAGUGUACAGUGUCUUUGGUUCGCGAUGAAGCUUAUCAGUGGUGGCUGACAGUUGAGGAGGGUACUUAGCCCGAGGGAAUAACUUGGGACUAUUUUUGAAACACCUUCUAGAACAAGUACAUAGGGGUGAAUUAUGUAGAGGCCCGUAGUAACAAGUUUAUGGGGAAAACUUAGGGAGAUAGGACUAUGGUCAAGUAUGAGGUCGAAUUCUUGAGGCUAAAUAGGUAUGCUUGUAGGUUGGUAGCUACUAACUGUUAUAAGAGCAUCCAAUUUGAGGAGGGGUUGAGAUACAAUAUAAAGGUAUUAGUGGCUCCACAAAGGGAACGAGUCUUCAAAACUUUGGUGGAGAAUGUUAAGAUUACCGAGGAUAUUAAACACGCAGAGCAUCAAAAUAAAAAGUAAUAAAUGAGUGAAAAUGAAAAUAAGAGGGAUUUGGCUCCUUCUAACUCUAUUCGGCGGCUUAAGAAACGGGCUAGGUUUGAUAAGUCUCCGCAGAUUGAAGCACCGAUUGCUACUUCUGAGAUUCGGUUUUGUGGGGGUUAUGGUAGCCACUAUCCGAGUGAGUGUUUAAGGAGACUGGGAACUUGUCUACGAUGCAAGUCUAUGGAGCACAGCAUUAGGGAUUUCUCGCUCUAUUCUAAUCAGGUUCAAGCUCUAGAUCCUAGUUUUGUUCAGCUUCAUAGGGAAAUUCAAUAGCCACCUAGUGGUCGUGGUCCGACCAAAAGUGGUAAUGGUAAAGGUAGAGGUCAGAGGUCACCAAGCAGAAGUGUUAAUCAGACUGAGGCUAAGCAGCCUGUUUUAGUAUAUGCGGCGAGGCACCGUGAGGAUAGGGGCGCCGCUAACGUUAUAAACGGUGCAUUUUAUAUUAAUUUUGUUCCAUAUUUUUCACUGAUAGAUAUUGACUCAAAUCACUCAUAUACAGCGAGUACUAUUUCUGUAAAUCUGGCAAUUCCAAUUGAGAGUACUUCCGGUGAGGUUUCUGUAAUUAGUCCAUUGGUUCAGACGGCACAUGUUAAUAAGAUUUAUAGAAGGUGUCCGCUGGAGAUACAAGGUGUUGUGUUUCCAACUAAUUUGAUGGAGUUACCAUUCAGGGAGUUUUAUUUGAUAUUGAGAAUGAACUGGCUCAUUUAGCAUUGAGUGAGCUUAGAUUGUGCUACUAAGAGGGUAACUCUGAGAUCUGAGUAUGAUAUGGAGAUUAUCAUGAUCAGUGAGUGUUGAGAUUAUCUCUCCAAUGUGAUCUUCGCUCUAAUAGUCGAAAAAUUAGUUCGAAAAGGGUGUGAGGCAUUUCUGGCUUAUGUGCAUGACUCGAGUUCCGUGGAGUUUAGAUAAGAAAGAAAUUUAAAUAAAACAAUUAUUCUAUUAUAAAAACAUGCCACAUUUUUUAUAUACUCAUGAUGAAAUUUUUGGAUCAAAUUUAAAUAAAAACAUGCCUCAAUCUUUAAGAAAAUUUUUGGACCAAAUUUUGUAUCCCAACAAAUUUAAGAGUGAUAAACUGAAAAUAUGAAAAUCCAUCAUGAUUUUGAUAGGACCUGAUCCCCACAACUUUUGUCUUUGUUUCCUUCUUUUUAAUUUUUAUGUUAUUCCAACUUUAAUUUUAUGGAAAUUAUCCCCAAAUAUUAACUUGCAACCUCAAAAAAUCUAACCAAUGAGUGGUUUUAUUUUUGUGAGCUAAGAUUGAGGUUUUAAGAGUAUCAAAGUUAAAAGUUUAAAUAUCAUACGGAAAUUAUAUGUGAAUUUUUUUAAAAAAGAUAUUUUUAUCAAUUAAUUUAAUUGUUAAAUUAUUUAUUUUAUUUAAUAUUUAUAAUAAUUAUUUCUAAUUAAAAUUGUGGAUUUGAUUAUAACUUUUAAAAAUAAAAUCUUGAGUUUACUAACUUGUGGAUUACAUUUAUAUUCAUUUCUUUUUCUUUUUAAUGAAAACUUUCAUUCAUUUCUUAGUCAAAAGCCAAUUUCUCAUCUUAUGAUGAGCCCUUAGAAGGUUGAAAAGGCAAAUGAUAUUUAUAUAAAAUUUUUGGAUUAGAAUUAUGAUUUAAUCAUAUUAAUUUAAUUAAGUAAUAAUUAUAAAAUUAUUUUUUAUGAAGAGUCAAAUAAUCAAUGAGUAUUUAUAUCUUUUAAUAAUCUUAUAUAAUAUUUAAAAUGAAAUUUGAGUUUUAAAAAACUAUCAUAUUUUUAUAAUAAAAAUUAUAUUUAAAAAUAAUUAUCCACCAAUCAUAAAAACAUAACUUCCACUCAAAAAGAGUCAAAAAAUAAAACUUAUGUAUCAUUUUUGGGAAUAAAUUAUAUUAGAAUAUCUUAAAAAGUAUUGUUUUUAGGUACCAAUAAAAUAGUGUCACAUCAUUAAAUUUUAAACAUAACAAAGUAUUAUUAUACACUCAUCUAUAUUUAAUAUUUUCUCCAACUUAAUUUAAUUUUAAUUUAAUUAAUUAAAAUAAUAAAAUUUUUAAAUUAUAAACAAACAUAUUUUCUUCUUUUACAAAUUUGAAUCAUUUUGUCUUUUUCCCAUAAUUUUUUUUUUUGUGCAACCAAUUUUUAAAAAUAAUGUGUUGGGAAAGGUCCAUAAAAUAAUUUCUCUAUUGAUGAGUGUAUAAUAAUAAUUUCAUAUCUUUAAAAUUUGAUGAUGUGAUAAAAUUUUAUUGCUGCCUAAAAACCUUGAUUUUUAGGAUAAUCCUAAUGUAAGUUAUUCCCUAAUUUUUUUAGUAUUCUUCAUAUCUAUUUUAUAAUUCAUAUUCAGAGGUUUGUAAUGACCUCUCAAUAAUGUGUCUUACCAUUACAUUCAAUACUAAUUAGUGUAUAUACAUUAUUUUAACCCUCAUUGAGGUGUGACAAUUUUUUCAUAAUUUUUAUUAUUAUUUUCAAGUAGGUGCCUUAAAUUCUAUUAUUAAAAAAAAUACGCCUAAUAAAUAUAAAACUAACAUAAUAUCUUCAAUUAACAUGUUGUAAAUUCAUUAAAAUGCAACCAAAUAAAGUAAUACCUUAUAAAUUAAUAAGUACAAAAUAUUAUUUAACUCAUCAACUUACAGUUCGAUUACUUCUAUAUUUCAAUAUAGAUUACUCUCCCACUAAACUUUUUCCCCUUAAAAAUUUAGUUGCAAACUAAUAAACAAUUCAAUUUACUUAGACAAAAGUAGCCACUAAAUAAAUCUUCAAUAAAAAGUAUAUUGGCAAAGGUUUUCUCGACGUCAAAUAUUUUGAAGAUUAAUUAUUUUUUAUUUAUAGGAGCUUCGAUCACGUUUAAAUUUUGGAUACAAUCUUUACUUGGCUUAGUUCUUGCAUGUUAUGUCUUCAAUAAUAGGUUGCUAAAAAUCCUCAAAGAUAAACAAUUAAAAGUUUGAACAAAUAAGGCAAUUUAUAAUUGUUUGCUAGAUGUUCUUUUAAGUUAUAACUAGUGUUGCAUCCAACAGUUAUAACUGGCAUUAACUCAUAACAUAAUUAAUACAUUUAUAAUUUAUUGUUUGGGUCAAUAUUUAAUAUAUUGUUGAUGAAAAUUUUUAAUUUCAUUUCACCAAAAAAAAUUAAAAAUUAAUUUAAAAAGGGUUUAAUAACUAUCACAUGUCUUUCUUUUUAAUACAUCCUUAAAAAAUAUAUAUAUAUCAUUUUAUGAACCUUACUUAUAAAGUCUAAAUAUUUCACCAACAAUAUAUUUAAAAAAAAUUCUAAUUACAAUUAUAUUUAAAAUUUUGGUUGUACUUAUAUUUAUGGUAACAACUAGGAUAAAAACUUUAAUAAUAGAAAACAAUGAGAAUGAAAAUAUUUCCAACCUUUUGAUCAAAGCCAUAAAUUUAUAUGUAAAUCAUCAAAAUAAAAUAAACAAAAAAAUCAACAGCCAACUUUUGUUUUUCUGUACUAUUAACUAUUUCAAUACUUCUAUUUUGAUUUAGCCUUAUCUCGGUUAGAGUAUAUAUCUAUAUAAAUUUAAAGCUUUCUUCGGAAUUUUAAGAGAAUUUAAAUAAAAAUAUUAGUUUCGAAAAAUAAGUUUAGACAAAAAAAUAAAACUCGUUUAAAAUAUGAGUUAGACAAAUAUUUGAACAUUUGAGGUUCGAGCCUAGUCCGACUCAUUUGUUAAGUUUGUAAUAAAUAUUGUGUUAUUUUUUAUAUUAUGUAAUUUAUAAUCCAUAAAAUUUAAAUCUAUACAUUACUACAAUGGAAAUAUUAAAAAGUGUUUAGAUGAAUAUAUAUAUAAUUUUAAUAAAUAAAAAUAUAUAAAAUUAAUAAUAUUCAAUUGAGAAUAAUAUAUUAAAAUUAAUAUAAACGAGUUUAAAAUGAAUUUGAGUUACCUAUUUAUAAAUAUGUGCAGACUCGGAUAGAAAAUUCAUGUUUUGAGUUGAGCUAAACUCAUGCAAAAAUAAAGUGUAUUAAUAUCAUACUUAAACUCGAUUCGGUCAAUAAAAACUUCUAAUUAAUAUUAUUAUUAUAAUAAUCAGAAGAACAUAAUGAUAUAAGUUGUUGGAUUCAUUUCCUAAAGGAAAAAUAUUGGAAGAGGGAAGCAAAUAGUAAAAUCCCAGCAACGAAAACAAGGGCACGUUCAAAAUUUGGUGCUUCAAAAGGAUCAAACACUUGAUAUUUUCAUCUCAAAGUUUGUUCAAUUUCCCACCUGUUUGGAAAGCUUUGGAUUGAUCCCUGAGGUUUGGAAAGGCUCAAAGAACUUGCUUACAAUCUUUUGCAGCUUUCGCGUAACCCCAUAUGUGGAAAGGACAAAGUAAAGACGAAAUACAUGAUUGGAGUUCUUUUAACUCCGAUAUUAACCUCCCAACUCCAUUUCCCUUUUCUUCAACAACUCCAUGGAACUCUGUAAGCAUUGAGAAGGUGGUGUUUCCUUCAAAACAAUAGCUUCUAAGAUGCAGGUAAACAAUUUACAAGCAUAUUUAUCAUGUUUCAAAAGCUUUCAUAAUAAUAUAGACACAUAUUUCGGUACGAGUAUGGAUCAUGAAAACUUUUCCUCAAAAAAACAAAGAAAAAGAAAAAAACAUGGCCUGAGCUUUCCUUUCAUAAAAAAUUACAAAGAUGAUUAAUAUAUACAAAGUACUUAAAUUUGAAAAUUAAUACCUACUUACUAGAACUAUUCAUUGAACGAGCUACCAGGCUCAAAGGCUCGCUUAAAAUUUGGGAGAAUUUAGGCAAAAAUAUUAGGCUCGAAAAAUUAGUUUGGACAAAAAAAAUUAGGUCUAUUUAAAAUAUGGGUCGAUCUCGAGCUUGAACAUUCAAAGCCCGAGCCUAACCCAAUCCGUUUUUAAGUUUAGAAUACUUUAUAUUAUGUAAUUUACAACACAUUAAAAAAAUUUAUAUUAAAUAUAUAAUAAUACUCUAAUGUAAACAUUAAAAUAAUGUUAAGAUCACUGUAUAAAAAAAUUCAAUAAAUAAAAUAAUAUAUAAAUUUAUUAAAUAUUAAAAUUAUAUAAUAUAAAUAUUUAAAGAAAUUAAAAAACAAUAUGGGUGGGCCUAAAAUGAGUUUUGAUUAGUCUUUUACAAAUAUGGCAAGUUUGGGUAAAAUUUUAUAUUCAUAUUUUGAGUCAAACCGGGCUUGGACAAGUAUAAAAUAUGUUAAUAUUAUGCUUAGAUCUAAUGUGACCCAUGAGCACCUCCAUUACUUGCUACCUGGAUUUUUGUUUUGGACUUAAUUAAUAUCUAAAUUUGAAACCAUAAUAUGAUUAUAUGAAGCAGCUUUAAAUUUUGUCACAUGAUAAAAAAGAUAAAAAUAUAUAUAUAACUUUUUAUAAAAUUUAAAUAUUUUUAUUUUUACCACGUACGUGUAACCAUAUUAAUACUCGUGAGUGCAGCAUAUAUAUAUAUAUAUAUAUAUUUUAACGAUGCAUGUUAAACCUUCCAAGACAUCCACUUCUUUUUUUUUUGAAUUUUUAUAAUUUAUUAUUAUUAUGAGGUGAUAUUGACAAUUUUGGUUUCAAAAUAGCUUUUUUUUAACAUGUGGCAAGCAUUUAUUGGAUGCUUAUUAUCACAUUAAUUUUUAAAGGGAAAAUUAAUGAGGUGCCAAUUUAAUAGAUCAAAUGAAAGCACAGAUAUGAAAUUGAUAAAUGAAUUCUCUAAAUACCUAAAUAAUAAUUUACCUACAAAUUAGAUAUUAAUUAUUCAAAAGAAAAUUUGAAUUGUUCUUCUGUUUGAUCUCCUGUAGUUGUUGCCUACACUUCAAUGUCUCAAUCUAAUAGAAAUGGCUGCCCCCACUCCCUGGCCCUUCAUCCAAACGUGCCACGAUAUCCCAAUUUUUUUACUAUUUCCCAGCAUUCUUGCCCGUUAAUGCCUAGGUUUUUAAUUUUUUUUUAAAAGUAAAUUUAUUAAUUUAUUUAAUUAAUGGAAUCAUACAAUUUAAGGAAAAAUAAUAAUAAACACUUAUCGCAGAUGGUGAAAGACAAACUCUAUCAAACAACAAAAGCUUUAGUCUUAGCAUCAAUGACACGUCAAUAAUGGACUAUUACAACUCAAACACGACAUAUAUGGAGUAAUUGCAAGUACUUAAUACGAUAAGAAAAUCAACUCUGGAUGGUCCAAAAGCGACGAGCAAAAAUCGACAAAAGAAUUAAGCAUUCACCAAACUAGAGAGGACGAUAACAAAAUCAUCCUUAAAAUCAUUUGUAAAACUAAGGCUACAUGCAUAAACAAGACUAAAAACGUGCUACAAGAAUAGACAAAAACUUCUAAAACUAAAAAGUUAUUAAAUAAACAAAAAAAUAUAAAACUUAAGACAACAUAGGUCCAAAUCGUCUAUCCAUUUUCCAAGAAAAAUUACUGGUGGGUGGUGGAGUUUUAGCAAGCAACAGGCGAUGUCGUCUAUCCAUCACAACUUGUGAAGGCAAAAAGAUACCCACAAAAUAGAUCUUCAAACUGAAAAAAAAAGAAGACACGUGGAGUGAAUUAGAAGCAGAAAGAAAGAAAAGGUUGGUGGGAGUGAGAAAAAGAUGAGAGAUAGCUAACCCGAAGGCUGGUACUGCUACGGGGCAAAACAAAAGAUAAGAAGUAAACAACUUGGAAAAAAAACAAUUUUUUAGGUUUUAAAUUUAAUUUUUAUUUCUUUAUUUAAUGAAAAAUAAUUUUAAGUUUUAUUAGAUAUUAUUUUUUAAUUUCAAAGAUAAAUUUUUUAUUAAGAUUUAGAAUCAAAUGAAGAUUUUAAAUUGAUUCAAUGAGUAAUAUGAAUCAUUAAAAGUAAAAAAGAAAAUUAAUUUUUAAUGAAUCAAUUACAUAUACUAAAAUCGAUUCGCAAGUAAAUGUGCUAAUCAAUCAAUUAAACCUAUUAUUUAAAAAUAGGUUUAAACAAAAAUUGAUAUUUAAAUUAUAUUAAUUUUUCUAUCUUAUUACCUCAAUUUUUUUAAUAGAAAUGAUACCUAAAUUAUAUUUUCAUUAUUUAAAUAACUCCUAUUAUUAGGUCUAUUAAAAAACAAUUAAUUAAAAUUUGGCACAGGGCACAAAAAGAUACAUAAGUAUUAUUAUGUAUUUAUUUAUGUAUGAUAUACAUUGUUAGUGGAGUAAAAAAAACAUUAUAAGCGGGUUUAGGUUGAUAUCAUUUGUUAUCAGGGUAUAAAAAAUAAAAUUUAAAUAAUUAAAAAAAGGAUACUUGAUAUCAUCUUAGAUUCACUUGUGGAGUAUUUUUACUCCACUCAUAGUGGAUAGAGUAAUUAUCAUGUCAUACCCCAAAAUAUAGGGGUAUAAUUGAAAUAAUUAACUAAGAAAUGAAGUAUGCUUGAUGGUUAAAUAGUUAAGUGCCCUCCCUAGAGGUCUUAGGUUUAAGCUACCCCUCACCCAUUUCUUUUACUUUUAUUUUCAACAACCUAGGAUAAAAACCACAUUAAAAUAAUAUAUUAUUAGGAGUAAUAUAAUUAAACAAAAAAUAGGCCUUAACCCUAACGGUUAAGAGCUUUCUUCCCCCUAAAUAAUCUAGAUUCGAUCCACAUUCUUCCCCUUCCAUCUUUUUUCAAUCUGGUCAAUUUUGGGUAUAUUGCCUAAGUCGCCCCCUAGGGUUCCCAAACCCUAGGUAUUUAGUUUAACUUUUCCCAAUUGAACUUAGAUUUUGUUUUCUCUUCAAUUCCAAUUAGAAUUUUCUUUCCUCUCACUAUUUUUUUCCCUCUUUCUUUUCUUCCCUCUCAUUUAAAUUAUAUUUUUCACCUUUUUGCUAUUGAAUAUUUUCUUCCUCGUAUCGAAUCAACCUCAUUUCUUGAUUUCUUAGCAGUAUCAUCAAAUAACAUCCUUAAUAUUUUCCAAGAAUUAGUAAGUACAUCUUAAUCCCAAUGAUUAACCUCAAAUUAUUAUAGAAUUUCUGUCCAACACUAAUCUCGCGACUGAUUAAAUGAUCUCUUAUGAUUCUUGCCAAAAUCUUUCGUAAAUUUUGUUAAAUCUUGAUACCACUAUUAGUUCAUGUGAAUUUGUUAUUGAAGGAUCAAAUUUAAGUGCGUCAGACCAAAAUCGAGCGUAAGGAACUUCAAUUGCACUUCCGGUGAAAGGUGUAUGUCUUUUCCCAAGUGAAUUGGUGGUGAUUGUGUGUAGAAUUAGGGCCAUAGUCUCCUACACAGGCGUGUGAACUACACGACCAUGUACCUCUGAAACCCUAGGCUAGUUCAUGAACCACACAGCCACAACUUGGCACACGGCUGUAUAUCCCCUAUAAGUUAAUUUUUACAUUUGUUACAUGACUACAAUCUGUUACAUGGGCUAACCACACAAUCAUGUAUUGUAACAGCCAAUUUUUGAUAAAAACAAAACAGUGGUUUCGGGACUACAAAUCCGAGUCCAGAAAGAAAAUUUAUUUUAAUACUAUUUUAUGAUCUACAGUAUGAUAAUAAUAUUGUGUGAAAUUUUCAUAAAGAAACUUUAUUGAUUAGAAGUUUAAUUUGAUAAAUGACCAAAUUGCACAAAGUGCAAAAGUUGAGUUUUAUUAGCUAAAAGGAUUAAAUAUCCAUAGAAAUUUAAAUUGGAGGUCUUUAUAUGGUAAUUAGACCAUUAAUAAAAAGUUAGUAGAUAUUUUUGGAUGAUUCAUCCAUGGAAAAUUAGAAAAAGGCUAAGGACUAAAUUGAAAAUCAAAAUAAUUAAAGAUGAUAAAUUAAUUAAAUAACAAAAUGUUAUCAUUUAUCAUCAUCUUCCCCAAAUAUUUUGUAUGGAAACCCUAGGAAAGAGAAAGAAAUCUUUCUUGGCCAAAUUAGGUAAGUAUUUAAGCCUGUUUUUAGUAAUUUUUAUAUUUUUGAGAUCGGGAUAAUCUAAUCUAGCUAUUUUGGGGAUCAAUUUCUAAAUUUAUCAAAGUAUGAAAAUUUUUCCAUGGAUGAAUAUGCUGAAAUUUUGAUAUUUAUGGUAGAAUUUAAAAGGUUUUUGAUAGAUAAACAACUUUUACAAAGUGAAUUUUGAUGAAAACAUAAUUUAGGGACUAAAUUGAAAAGUUAUAAAAUUCAUGAAAAAAAUUCUAAAUUUUAUGAAAUACAUGGGCUAUAAAUGUUACAUGUAAAAAUUGGUUGGGCUUGGAACAAGGAUUAAAUUGCAUGAAUUUCAUAUUUUGAGCUUAGGGAUAAAAUAGUCAUUAAUUAAAAAUUUAGGGGCAAAAUGGUAUUUUUUUCCUAAGAUGUGAAUUGAAUUGAAUUGAGUUUAAAUUUUAUUAAAUUUAUGUUAAAUUUACUCAUAUAGAUCUAGAUAUACUAAAUUUGUAGUUAGAACGAAGAAAAGAGAAAAAUGUCGGAUUAUUAGAUUUUAGGUACACAAACGUUUGUCGAGGUAAGUUCGUGUAACUAAAAUUGUGUAUAUUUACAUGCUUGAAUUAAAUGUUGUGUAUGCGAAUUAUAUAAAUAUCACAUAUAUAUAUGACAUUGAAAACAUAUCCGACAAAGCCCAAUAAAUGAUAAAUGAUAAAAAUGUUACUUUUAUGCUUGAAAAGAAUGUGAAUGUGUUUAUUUGAAUUGUAUGAAUGUUAUAUAUGUAUGAAAUAAUCACCUGCCUAAUAAUGCCUGAAAAUUGUUAAAUCCCAUUUGAAUAAAUGAAAAUCGAUGGAUGCAUGAUUUCCCGUAAUGAAUAUAGUUCAUCAUAUGUUGCGGACAGGAUUUAGCUCGGACAAGUAAUCCUGAUAUAGCCCUCUCGAGCAUCUUGUUAUAUAGUUCCUGCGAGCAUAUUGAUCGGUAGUGGUUUAGCAUGUGUUGCGCACUACUGCAGCUCUUUGUGAGUGGCUUGAUAUGCAAUCAGUUGUGAUCCAGCAUAUAAUGCAGACACAAACGCAACUCUACAUAAGCAUCCUAAUAUAGGCUCUUAUGAGCUUCCUAACAUGGCUCGCUUGAGAUCCUUGUUACCUUAUCUGGUGCUUCCUGAUAGUAUCUCUUCGGAGAUAUCUGAUAAGCUCUAUGAGCUUCCUGAGUAAAACUCUUAUGAGUUUCUUGUUUAGCCCAGAUAAGUGUCAUGUUACAUGGUUCAUCUAAGCAUCCUUAUAUGUGGCUCGAAAGUGUGCUCCUUAGUUAUGUGCCCUAACGGGUACCUCUGAAUAUGAAUUGACGGAUCCUGAUUUGUACACUUCGAAUAUACUACCUGUGUAUCCAUCGAUAUUUCAGAUAAAUUUAACGGAAAAAAUCUUGACAUGAGAAGAUAUUAAUAAGAAAUAAGUUAUUACACUUAUCUCCUUGAAAUACAUGAAAAUGAUGAUACAUGAAAAUUGAUAUAUGGAAACAUGAGAUGGUGAUAUUUGUACAUGGAAUUUAUUUGAUGAAUAUGUUCAUCAUUGAUUAUAGAUUUGUACACCUUGAGUGUACUACUCGUGUGACAUUGAUAUUUCGAAUGAUAUGAGUAAAGUUCUGACAUGAAAUAAUCUGAACUUGAGAUGAAUUAUUAUGAAAAUAUACUUGUAAUAUAAAGAUAUGAUUUAUACAUGCUAAAUGAAUACGUGAUAUGGAAAGCAUAUGUGCCUGGAAAUCUGAUUGUUGUAGAGCUCAUAUAUGUUUCUUGAUGAUAUUGUGGAUUGUAUGACUAACAAGGGCAAUAAGGAUAUGUGUAGGGCUUGAGAUCAAAUUGAUUGAAUGUGCCUUACAUGUUUAUCUUGAAAUAGAUGAAUGGUAAGUUAAGUACCAUGUUAUAUGAGCUUACUAAGCAUUAUAUGCUUACUUAGUUUUAUUUCCCUAUUUUAUAGAAAAUCAGAAACUCGUUGGAUUGGAAGCUUGGCUGAGAUUACUCACACUAUCCAUCGGCCCAUUUUGGUACAUAUGGUAAAUCAGUUAUGGUUAUAAUGGCAUGUGUAGGUUAAUUGACCAUAUUGGCGUGUAAAUGGUUGAUUGUAAUUUAGCUAUUAGAAUGGCUAGUAAAGAUUUGUUGUGGUAAAAUUAUAAGGUUAUGGCAUAAUGAAUAUUCAUGUGUUCAGUGUGGUUGAUUAAAUUAUGUUAACAUGUAUGUUCACAAAAGGAUAAGAUUAAAAACAUGAAUGCAUGUAAUGAUGUACCAUAUUAGAUGUUGGAAUUAACUUGGAUGUAAUGCUUGA